Molecule: long non-coding RNA, 48844 nt
Filed under: Capsicum annuum
Lineage: Eukaryota; Viridiplantae; Streptophyta; Magnoliopsida; Solanales; Solanaceae
Description: long non-coding RNA (CANN_LNC010600)
Source: RNAcentral
CGGUGCAACAAAAUAGGGACCCGAGCUAUCAGCCGAAUUUGUCACCACUGAGAAACAGUCCUUCGGGAACUCUGACCCAAAUUGUCAGCUUCAAAAUUUUCUAGCUAAUUCGAAAGCAUCAAAGUUUCCAUUUUUACUCAACUAAAAAAAAAGACUUACUAAUUUUUUGCCCUAAAUGGAUUUUUCCCCUUCAAGACCUUAAUGGAGAUAGGUGAAUUUUUCUCUCUUUUAUGACUUCCCUCAAAAUUUCGAAACCCCCUAAAAGAAAGAAAACCAAUAAAAAAAAAUCCUCCUGGAGAAAGGAAGAACCCCCUUUAUCGACCAAAAACAUCAAACCCUAGAGAAUAUCGUGACCUCCUAUUCCUCUCCUUUCUUGAACAAAGAACGAAGGUCCUCUUAUAUAGAGGACAAAAUUGGGGCGAUCUGGAUUUGAAAGAAGUAAACCCUCGGAUCUCAAAUUCCCCAAAAAAUUCUCCUCCUAGCCCCGUCUCUUAUCCUCGAUCGUAAGUCUUUUGGAUUUUUCUGAGAAAUUUGUGACGGGUGGACCAAUAGGGUUUGGGGAAAAUUCAUCCUUUUCAAGAACCAAUGGAAAGUGUACCAAUAUGUAUGAAAUAGUACCAUUCCAACCGAGAAAUGCGGUAUUGAGCCGUGGGAGAGGCCACCUAACCUCGUUUCUAGAAGAUUUGAGGCUUUUCCUCAUACAAAUGUUGCGUGAAACUCGUGUGGUGAGAGAAAAAAAACCAAUGGGCUAGGGCUGAGUCGAUUCGAAAAUGGGUUGGAUACGGGUUAAGGGUCGGGUUUGCUUUGAGUUAUUCAUAGAUGUUAGUGUUGAUGAGAUUAUUGUUUUGAUGAAGAAGAAAAGGAGAUAUGGGAAUGGGUCGGGUCAAUUGAUUUUGGAGUGGUCUUAUGUGAGAUUAAGAGAGAGAAUGGGCUAGGUUGUAAAUUGGGUUGGAAUAACUAUCAAAGUUUUGGGAUUAAUAAUGGGUAGAUUAGGUCAAUUUUGGGGUUAUUUUAGAAAAUAACCUCAAUUGAAUUGGGAAUUGUCUAAAUCUAUUUAAAUUUUUGCCAAAUUGAGAAUAAUUUGGCCCAUUGUAUUGCAAUCGGGGCCAAUUUGAUUUCGAUUAUAGCUAGAUUUAAUAGAUUAGCCAAAUUAAAUCAAAAUUCGAUACGAAUUUAUAUCUCACUCACUCCCGAGCUUCUCGGUUUAAUACAAUCAAAUGCAUAUUUAUCCAAAUAAAUUAUUUUCGAGAAUAAAUUAUAUUUAAAUUAAGAUUUUAAUUAUUAUUUUUUGAAAUGAUCCUUAAUUGAAAUUUGAUAUUUGUGAAAUAAACAUUUAAGUAAAAAAGUUAUAAUCUCGCAUAAUUGAAUGCGAUAAUAUAUAAUCGCUACAUAAAAUGAUAAAAUUACGUACAAAGUAUUUUGACAAAAAUUUAUUCGGAUGAAAUAAAUAUUUUAAUUUUAUUAACAACCGAAGAAGAUCAAAAUUGAACUUGGUUGUGGAGGACAAAAAUUAGGUGUCAACAACUGGCCCCUCCCUUUGGGUAGGGUGGAUGCAAGUAACCCUGGACAAGGGGAGAACGACGUUCCUAAUUUUUAUUCGACCACAAAUUCAUAUCUGAAAAGGGGUUGGUUUUUUCAUGAUUUUAUGGAUUUAUGGCCAGACCUCGGUAUCAGGCUUCCUACAUAUCUCAUAUUACAUGAGAAUUCAGGCCACUUGUAGUUCAUGGAGCUUGAUUUUAAGCACGAUUUUCACGAAAAUUCACCGCCUAUCACGGUUUUAGAGUUUUUGAUAAACCAAGAAGAUGGGGAAUAAAGGUAUUUGGGGGGAGGUUGUAAUGAAGUCGAGUUUUCUACAUAGAUCCCAGCUUACAUAUCCCUUGGAAUCGGGGAAUCAGACUGUUUGUAGUUCGACUCAAUCAGUAGAAAAGAUAGUCUUUUAUUUCAGACGAUCUUUGGCUCAAGAUAAGUGACAAGUUGAUCGAGUUGCGGAAAAGAUGCUUGUAACCUAUUAACCAUGAAUGUGGGAUCCUUCACAUCCAUAGGCAAGAAAUUACCUGGACAUAAUUACCAAAACUCUAAGUGUGUUGCCACCCAAAUUUGAAAAAAAAAGAAGGUUACCCUCGACAUGAGUUUAGAAAUAUCUCGAAGGUGAAGCUGAGACCAGAACUUCCUAAAAUACCCAUAUGCCUUCUAAUAGAGGCGUGGUUAUAUGGUGGUGGUGAUCAUCAUUUAGCUUACGUCCAGAGAGUUUGACGUCCCUCUCUAGACUAUGUCCCGUUUUACCGCUAAGAGAGAGUUCCACGUUACAUUGCAUCCUUUUUGGAGUCGUCCGCAACUGUGGUUUUGAUUUGAGAUUUUCAUCCUCUCGGAUUCUCUCGACAAUAUCUCAAACAGAAAUCAUCAGUAAUAAGCACAAUUCACAAAAGAGGUAUGUGGUAUUUUCCCAUAUCUCUACGUGAGUUGUUGUCUAAAAAGUGAAGUCAUCUCUUCUUGUACCUGUUUGGAAGAAAUAACUUGUAGUAACAAGCACAACAACCUUCUUGAUUGUUUCAUAAUUAGCUCGUUUGUCGAGCGAACAUGUCUUAAAAGUGGGUGGCCCGUUUGGACACCACGAUACUUUAUAUAGAACGGUCCCUACAACCGUGUAAUCUUAUGCUGGGGUGGUAACCCUUUUGGUUACCUAUAUCACUUGUUGUACGUGGAAAAAUAACCUCCCUAGUUAUAGAUGAUGAUCUAUUUAUAAAUUUUCCUUAAAUUGUCAAUCUUUGGAUAAUCUUUCGCAUUAUUUGACGUUGGAUACGAGGCGACUUACAAAUAUCCUUUGAAUUGCUAGCUUUUAGGUAAUCCUGCAUAUUAUCCGACUUUGGAUAAGAGAUGGCUUACAGAUAUCCCUCCAAUUGCUAGCUUUCAGGUGUUCCUACACAUCAUCCGACCUUGGAUACAAUAUGAAUUAUAGAUAAUCUCUCAAAUUGUUAGUCUUUGGGUAAUCCUGGACAUAAUCAAUCUUGGAUAUGACGCGGCUUAUAGAGAACCCUUGGACGUAUCAAUUUGAUAAUCUUGCAUAUUCUCCGGUAAGGAUUUAGUUGCGACUUACGGAUAACCUUUGAACUAUCAAUUUUUGGGCGAUCUUGCACACUAUUCGGUACGGAUGCUGUUGUGUCUUACGGAUGACCUACAGGUUACCAACUCAUAGGUAAUUUAGCGCACUAUCCUAUUUCAAAUAAUAUGACUUAUAGAUGACCCUCAAAUUGUCAAUUUCCAAGAAACCUUAUAUAUCAGUCAUCCUUAGAUAGUGACUUAAAGGCGUCCCUUCAAAUCGUGUGCUCUCGAUGCAUUCAGAUGCUGAUUCAUGAAAAUAUUAUGAUAUCCUUGACACCAGCAUUGCAUCUAGCGCGUCAACAGAUAUAUUAAAUGCUGAUGAUAUCAUCGACCCCAGCGUUGUGUCUAGCGCAUCAAUAGAUAUUGAAUGACGAUGAUAUCCUUGAUGCCAACAUUGUGUCUAGUGUGUCAACAGAUAUUGAAUGCCUUCUGGGGCAAUGGUAUGGGAUGUCCUAUGAGGCAAUGAUAUGAAAUGGCCCUUGCGGCAAUGAUAUGAGAUUGCCCUGGCGGCAAUGAUAUGUAAUGGCCUUUACGUCAAUGAUACGUAAUGGCCUUCACGACAAUGAUAUGCAAUGGCCUUUGUGGCAAUGAUAUGCAAUGGACUUUGCGGCAAUGAUAUGUAAUGGACUUCGCGUAAAUGAUAUGCAAUGGCCUUCGCGGCAAUGAUAUGCAAUGGCCUUUGCGGCAAUGAUAUGUGAUGGCCUUUGCGAAAAUGAUAUGUAAUGGCCUUUGCGGCAAUGAUAUGCAAUGGCCUUUGCGGCAAUAAUAUGUAAUGGCCUUUGCAGCAAUGAUAUGUAAUGACCUUUGUGGCAAUGAUAUGCAGUGGCUCUUUUUCCAAAUUUUAAAAUAAUUUUACCUGACUUCAUUUGUCAGCGUCUUGCUUUCGACAUGUACCUGUACUCAAGGUAGACGAUUAGUAGACACAAAGUCGCUUUUUCUAGAGGUUGUUUUUAGAAAAAUUCUAAAUACAAUAUUUGUAAAGAAGACAAGACACUUUUGUUUGUCCUCCAUGAUCAUAAGAAAUGAGAUGGACACUUCAAAAGGUCUUCAAUAUAUGGGUACUAAACCCAUUUUUAGGGCUACCCAAAAAUACCAUUCUUGAGCAUUAGUGCUCUGGUUUGGCUCCCAAUUUGCUCGGGGCUUUUUGAAGGAGACUCUCAUUUUUGUGUAUUGGUCCCUAGACCCACAGAAAAUGAUUAGUUUGAGUGAAACUACUCCGUGUUGACCUCUUUCAAUCCUUGAUUUGCCCCCUCCCCCCGCCAUAUUUCAGGUACUUUGUCAUGUUGGGACUUCCACCUAUGAAUACCCAUCCCAAUUGAUGUCUAGGCAAUCACUAAGUCAAAGAUUUAUAUAGAUUUUUUAAAGUAGUUUUAAUUUUUAGAAGAUAGUUUUGAAAGCUUAUAUAAAACUUUAGAAGAUCUCUUCCAGUCAUGUCAUGUAAUAGCUCAACAAACAUCUGCCUCUUGAUUUUAACUAUAUAUGAUGGAGGAUUUCUAAAACUCAUCAUCCUUAUUGGAGUGUUCUUCAAAUAGUUCUGUCAUAGCCAGAAAUUGAGUCUACCUAGACUUUGUCACAAUUGGUGGCUUCAAGAGAUUGGCUUAAACCUCCGGUGCUGGGGAAUUUGAAAUAUAUUCCAGUAUUUGGUGGAAAUUUUGAGGCCUCCCUCAAAAUUUCAGUCCUAGUUUAGAGUAGUCUGAUAUGAUAUCAUCUUGAGUGGAUCUGAAGCCUUUGCUGAUCUUCUUUCUCUUUGUUGGAUGUUGAUCUUCUCUUGUGAAUUGUUGAGAUUCCUUCUCCAAAAUUCUGCCCCAGUUUCCAUUUCCUGGGGUUAUAUGACUGAGCCGUUGAGGAGCCUACGUAUCCCGUUGAAGCAGUAAUCAGGUCAAACAUAGUUCAAGCUACGCUAGGGAUAUAUAUAGAAAAAUCUAAUGGGUUGACCGAAGCCGACAUAGGCCGCCUAUGUAUCUCAUUCUUGAGAAUUCAAGUCAUCACGUAGUUCAUACAUAAAGGAAAAGGAUAAAUUUUCCUAAGGGGUUGACCGAAACCGACGUAGGCCACCUACGUAUCCCUUUCUUGGGAAUUUAGGUCAAACGUAGUUCGUACAUAGAGGGAAAGGAUUCUAGGCAGUUACAUACUAGAAAACAACAUUACUAUGAAUGCGAUUACAAGUAAAUUAAGUAAAGAAACACGAAAACUAGAACAUCCUUCAAACAUAAUAUCUCUUUACCACAUCAGAAUUAAUUGGUUUGGUCCACUCUGUGUCAUCCAUCUCAGAAAAAAUCAGAGCUCCUCCAGAUAGUACCUUGCAAACUAUGUAUGGCCCUUCCCAGUUUGGAGCGAACAUACCCUUGUACUCCUAUUGGUGAGGGAAUAUUCGUUUGAGAACCAAUUGCCCCACUUCAAAUGUUCGAGCUCUCACAUUCUUGUUAAAGGCACGAACCAUUCUGUGUUGGUACAACUGCCCAUGGCAUAGAGCGGCCAUUCUUUUUUUAUCAAUCAACAUGAGUUGUUCAUAGCGAGCGUGGACCCAUUCUUCAUUACGCAGUCCAGCUUCCUGAAUAAUCCUUAGGGAAGGUAUUUCAACGUCAGCAGGUAUCACAACUUCAUUCCCGUAAACUAGUAACUAGGGAGUUGCCCCGGUGGAGGUUUGAGCCAUUGUUUGAUACCCUAGCAAGGCAUAAGGUAACAUCUCAUGCCAUGAUCUAUCAUUUUCGACCAUUUUUAUCAAGAUUUUCUUGAUAUUCUUGUUGUCAGUCUCCACGUCUCCAUUCAUUUAGGGACGAUAUACAGUUGAGUUGUGAUGCAUAAUCUUGAACUAAUCACAAAUUUCUUUCAUCAAGUGACUUCUCAAGUUUGCCCCAUUAUCAGUAAUGAUCGAUUUCGGUACUCCGAAUUGGCAAAUCAAGUUAUUCCUGAUGAUAUCUUCAACCACUUUCUUAGUGACGGCUCUGUACGAAGAAGCUUCGACCCACUUAGUGAAAUAAUCAAUGGCAACCAAAAAAAAUCUAUUCCCAUUCGAUGCUAAUGGCUCUAUUGGUCCGAUGACAUCCAUACCCCAAGCUACGAAAGGCCAAGGCGAGUUCAUUGCGUGAAUCUCGUGUGGAGGCAUUCGAAUAAGACCUCCGUGUAUUUGACAUUUUGGACAUCUCUGCACUUACUUACUACAAUUAUUUUCCAUAGUCAUCCAGAAGUAACCGGUUCUUAGGAUCUUUCUGGCAAGGACGAACCCAUUCAUGUGGGGCCCACAAACUCCAGCGUGUACUUUUUUUAUCAGUUUAUCAGUUUUCACAGCAUUGACUCAUCUUAAGAAUCCCAAAUCAGGAGUCCUCCUAAAAAGGAUUUCUCCAUUUGGAAAAUAGUUCUUUGCCAAACGCCGGAUCGUCUUCUUUUGGUUGUUACUGGCCUCUUCAGGAUAUAUUCCAGAUUCUAAAUACCUUUUAAUGUCAUAGUACCAAGGCUUUCCAUCAGGCUCCUCUUCAACGUGUGUACAAUGCGCGGGUUGCUCCUUCAAGAUAAUUUCCAAAGGAUCAAUGUAACACUGAUCUGGGUGCUGAAUUAUGGAAAAUAUAGUGGCCAAAGCAUCAGCAAACUCAUUUUGUAUCCGAGGGAUAUGUCUGAAAUCAACUUCUCUGAAUCUUUCACAUAAUUCUUGCACCAUCACCACAUAAAGAGUAAUCUUGGGAUUUUUUAUUGCCCAUUCUCCCCGUACCUGGUGAAUCAGUAAAUCUAAAUCCCUGAUUACUAACAACUCACAAAAAACCAUAUCAAGUGCCAAUUUGAGACCCAGGAUGCAAGCCUCAUAUUCAUCCAUGUUAUUGGUGCAGUGGAAACAUAACUUUCCAGUUACCGGAUAAUAUUGGCCCAUUUCUAACACCAAAACUGCUCUGAUUCCUGAACCUUUAAAGUUGACUGCCCCAUCAAAGAAUAGCCUCCAUCCGGGGCAAAUCUCUGUGAUAUCUUCCCCUACGAACAAAAUUUCCUCGUCUAGGAAGUAAGUUCGAAGUGGCUCGUAUUCCUCAUCAACUGGAUUUUUUGCCAAAUGAUCCACUAAGGCUUGCCCCUUGAUUGCCUUCUGGGUUACGUACACAAUGUCAAACUCACUUAGGAAUAUUUGCCACUUGGCUAGCUUUCCUAUAGGCAUGUCCUUCUGAAAAAUAUACUUCAAUGGGUCCAUUCUCAAGAUGAGGUAUGUUGUGUAGGACGAUAGAUAAUGCCUCAAGUUUUGUGCUGCCCAAGUCAAAGCACAACAUGUCCUUUCUACAAGAGUGUAACGGGCUUCAUAUGGCAUGAACUUUUUACUCAAGUAUUAAAUGGCUUUCUCUUUUCUGCCGGUCUAAUCAUGUUGCCCGAGGACAAAUCCGAAAGCAUUUUCUAAGAAUAACAGGUAAAGCAACAAUGGAAGCAACAAUUGAGUUCCUUCUCUUGGUGGUACCAAAACCGAAAAUAUUCCUUGAUAAGGUCAAAAGCUCUCUGAUAUUCUUCUGUCCACUCAUUCAAUGCAUUUUUCUUUAGCAUCUUGAGAAUUGGAUCGCAUAUGACUGUCGACUGAGCGAUAAAAUGGCUAAUGUAAUUCAAACAACCCAUGAAAAUCAUAACUUCCUUCUUGGUUGUCGGUGGUGGCAAGUCCUGUAUUGUCUUAAUUUUAGAUGGGUCUAACUCUAUGCCUCUUCUGCUGACUAUGAACCCCAGAAACUUCCUUGAUGGCACACCAAAAGCACACUUAGCAGGGUUUAAAUUCAAACAGUACUUUCUUAAUCAGUUGAAGAAUCUUUCUAGAUGGGUCAGAUGAUCCAAAAUCUUGCGGGAUUUGAUAAUUACGUCAUCCACGUACACCUCAAUCUCUUUAUGGAUCAUAUCAUAGAAAAUGGUCGUCAUAUCCCUCAUAUAAGUUGCACCCACAUUCUUGACACCAAAUAGCAUUACCCUAUAAUGAUAGACACCCCAAGGCGUAAUAAAAGCCAUCUUUUCUGCAUCUUCCUCAUCCAUUAACAUCUAAUGAUAGCCAGCAAAACAAUCAACAAAAGACAGCAUUUUAUGCUUUGUUCAAUUAUCAAUGAGGAUAUGAAUGUUGGGCAAUGGAAAAUUAUCUUUAGGACUGGCUCUAUUCAAGUUUUUGUAGCCAACACAAAUGCGAAUCUUGCCAUCCUUCUUUGGUAUGGGGACGAUGUUGGCUAACCACGUCGGAUACUUUGUGACCUCUACUGCCGUAGACUGGAUUUAUUUCAUCACUUCUUCCUUUAUCUUUAAACUUAAGUCUGGCUUGAACUUCUGCAUAUUUUACUUGACUGGAUCAAACUCAGAAUUUAUUGGCAACUUAUGUGACACAAUGCUGGUGCUAAACCCUGGCAUAUUAUCAUAGGACCGAGCAAACACGUCAAUAUAUUCCCAAAAUAGGUGAAUGAGCUCUCUCUUUUGUGCUUCUGCUAGGUGGACACUGAUGCUUGUUUCUUUGGUUUCAUCAUGAUCUCUGAGGUUGACUGUUUCAGUUUCCUCUAGGUUAGGUUUUUCCCGAUUCUCAAACUCCUCCAUAUCUUCAACUAAUUGUUCCUCAUCACCGUCCUUUCAAUCAUCAUCGUUCCCUUUAUUUUGUUUGUUUAAACUUUGACAUGACAUAACAUUGGCAGAUUUUAAGUUGUUAUUACUAUAAGGGACAAACAAACCAAGUUAGAUGAUGACAAAAUAAUAACAAAAUAUACGACUAGGAGUGUUCUAGAAAUAAUAAAAUUUUCUUAAUAGAUGAAGGCCUUUUCAUUGAAAUUUGAGAGCUAAUUACAAAACCAUAGCUCAUGACUUUUGCAAAUACAAGUCCAUGCCUUUUUUAAAGUAGUAAAAUACGAAAAGAAAGUUUUGAGAUAUAAAAAGUGGAUCGCAGGGCCUCCGCCAGAUCAUUACUGAUUUUAAAAACUAUUAGUAAUUUUCCUUUCACCUACCACGACGGGUGACAGGUUAUGAGUGGAGUGGAGGUCCAAUUUUACAAGGCCUCCCCUGGCGCCAUCUUCUUCAACCCACUGGAUUUUGGGAAAUCUUCUGAUACAGCAUUGCAUCCCUCGAACAAAUCUCCUAUCCUAUCCCCAAGACCAUCAUCAUCUGACACCUCUCGUACAGGAAAUGACUGGCACAGGAGUGGCAAGGUACUAAACAAACUUCUUUCUAACUCAUCCUCAACCCUAUCCUUCCUGGUAGACUGAUAUCCUAUCAUCGCAGCCAGGUUCUUUACACACGACCCUGCGGGAAUAUAUGCUUUAUCCAAGACCUUCGAUAAAGCUUAUCGGUGGUAUUGCAAACUCAUUAAUAGUACCAAGACAGAGAUUUGAGCUAGUGUCUUCUCUAAAUGUUUGACAAUUGAAUAAUCUUUGGAUUGCAUACGCCUCCAAAAUUCUUCAGCCUCUCCUUCAGUGAUUGGCCUUCUCUGUGAAUCCCUUUUGUUGGUGAAUUCCUCUGGGAUGUAGCAUCGUCCCAAUCGUAUCAUCACUUGGGCAGCAACGGUCUACACAAUAAAUUUUUCCUUGGCGGGGGAGCGUACACUUGAGUUGGUACGGUCAUCACUGUAAAUGGGUCUUUCUCAUUGAUACUCAAGGUAUCCAGAACCUUCUCUAUCUUUCUUACCUUUUCUGCUCUUUUACAUUUUUCAUAGUUCACUUGGGUAAUGGUCUUGCCAGAUGCCCAUUUGCCCUCUAUUUGAAUCAUGUUAACUGUAGAUCCCCCAUGGUUAGGCAAUGGAUUACUGUUAACAUUUGGUGUAGGUGCCUGGAGCGUGAUGACUUUUUGAUCGAUUAAAUUUUGGAUCCUAUGUUUCAGGUAGCCACAAUCCUCUGUAUUGUUCCCCGCUGCUCCUGAAUGAUAGGCACAAUGUUGACUUGCAUCAAAAAAUCGAGAGUUAGUAUUGACAUUCCUUGGCUGUAUUGGUUGCAAAUGACUAGCAUUCUUCAAUCUUUCAAACAAUUGGGUGCGACUUUCAGCUAGUGGGGUGAAGUUUUAAGGAAGGUUCUUUUCAUGGUUUGGACGUUGGGGGUUGUACUGUCUUUGAUAUGUAGGAAGAGGUACUUGGUGAUAAUUUUGAGGCACUAGGAAAUUUGUUCGGUUAUUUGAAGGAGUGGAUUGGAAAUGAGACUAAUAAUUUGGAGGAAGAGCUGGGUAUUGGGGAAAGAUAUUUAUCUAUGGAUCUUGGUAUAAGGAUUAGAUGUUUGGGAGUGGAGUUUGGUACUGAUGUUGGGCAUUUGAGAGUGGAGCUAGGUAUUGGGGGUAGGCGUAGAACACGUGCUGAAGGUUGGGUGACGGCGGAGAAGAUAAAACAUUUCUUGAGUUGAACCUCUUUUUUGUUUUCGCAAUAGGAUUAGCAAAAAUCACACCUACAUCUUCCUUUUUCUUCUUUGAGAACAUGACGGUCCCAGAUGACGUUGGGGUUUUGGCAAUUUUCCCUGUUCAAAUACCUUCUUCCAAUGAUGCUUCUAUUUUUACCAAAUCCACAAAAGUUGCCCUGACAGCGGACACCAUCCUGGAGUAAUAUUCUCCUUAUUGAGUGUGAGAGAACACGGAUAUGAUUCUCUCCUCGGACAUGGGGGGUUGUACUUUGGCGACUUCUUUCCUCUAACGAAAAGCAUAGUCUCAAAAAAUCUCAACAUUUCUCUGUUUGAUCUGAUCUAGUGAAUAUCGGUCAGGGACUAUUUCAUUGUUAAAUGCGAACCGGUCAAGGAAACCUUUGGCCAAUGCUUUCCAACCAGUCCACUUUUUCAGCUCCUGAGACAUGAACCACUCCAAGGCUUCGCCACUUAAACUUCGACUGAAUAGGCACAUCAAUAUCGCCUCAUUUUUCCCUAUCCCUACCAGUUGCUUACAGUACCUUCUCAGAUGGGCCAUUGGAUUUUCGGUACCAUGAAACAUCUCAAACUUAAGGACUUUGUACCCAUCUAGUAGGUCAACUCCCGGGUGAACACAUAAAUCGUCAUACCCCAAACCAUCGUGGUCCCUGGCUCCAUGAGACUCUUUGAUCCUCAUGAUCUUUUCCUUCAUAGCUAGUAAAUUCCUUUUAUAUUAGAUCCUCCACUUUUUCUCCUUCUCCUCGUAAUGGUCCAUCUCGGGGUUAGGAAGAGGUUCAUAAAUAUAAGAGGAUAUGAUGGAUUAAGGGGGAUUCGGAAGGGAGACUUAAUUUUGUGGAUGAAACAAAGUGGGUUCGUAGGUGGGGCGGACAUUAUGAAAAUUAGAAAGGUUUUAUGGAAUUUGAGAGUGGUUUUGUGGAAACUGAGAAGGAUUUUGCAUAUUUGGAAAUGAAUUUGGUGGAUUCGAAGGUAGGUUUGACGUAUUUUGUGGGUUUGAGAGUGAAUCUUGCGGAUUUGGCAAUGCAUUUUGUUGAUUUAAAAAUGUGUUUAGAGGAUUUGGGAAUGGAUUUGGAGACGGGUUCUGCGGGGUUAGAGAUGGAUUUUGCGGAGGGUAGGCAUCUGGGUUAUUUUUACGAUUGGUAUUUUGGAAAAAUGGGGGAGCGGAGAUGGACGAUAUGUUAUUUGGCUGAUCCCCAAGAGUAGGGGUGCUGAGGGGAGGAAUUUGUAGUGGAGUCCCGUGUCCUCCCGAAGCGAGAACAUUGACGGUGGUGGCCAAGUUAGCUAAAUCUCGAGUGCGAUUUAUUUCUUCCUGAAGCAUUUCUAACUUUCUUGCAAGUUCCUCAAUCAUCUCAUUUUGUCCUGCUAUCACAUUGUUCUGGUUAGUCAGUGUGCUUUCUUCAUCAUUUCCUAUCAUUUUUGAAUGAUGGUCAGAUGAUGGGUUUUUGUCCACUUUCGAGCGGGUGAAGUAGGGAUGUUCUGCCAUCUUAUAUCAACAUAGAGUAAUUUCUAUUAUCUAUAAAGUAAAACAACUCAAAGGCAGAUGUGUUAGUUUCCGUGUAUGAUAAGUAAUACAAAAUAUUUGACAGGAAAUAACCACAUAGAGUUGUUUGGGUCACAGGCAAAUUCAUCCAUAGGAGCAUAACGGAUAAACUUGCUUUUGAUCCAAACAAGCACACAUGACAGUUAUAUUACACAAAACAUUAUAAUAAUGCGUAUCCAAACAGGGGUUACCCUUUUUGAGCCAAUAGUUUAGGCCUAAUGAUUUUGAAGAAAAUAUAUGCUUUCUUAAAGUCAAUUCGUUAUCCCCCAACUUAUAUAGACACAGAAAGGGCAAAAAUGCCUAUAAAAGAUAACGAAAUAGGAAUACAAUCUUUAGGGGGAAAAGGGGAAAAAAACCUGAAAGAGAAUAAGUUCCCUUGCAGGGGAAAUAGAAAAACUAGCUACUAGAGGCUCCUUCGUCUGCCUUUGCCUUCUUUGCCUCAUCCAUUUCUUUUAUUGGUGACAUCCGUUGACAUUCAAAUUGUGCCUUAGAUGCAACCUCCUAAAUCUAUCAAUUUCUUGCUUAUCUUGCUUCAAUUCUUCUUACAAAAGUAAACAAAUCAAGCUUUUUCCCGACACCCAAAGGAUAAUGGAUUAAAUUUAGACAAGCAUGUAUUUUUCUCAACACAUAAAUUUCAUUCCUCUGUAAUUAGCUCGAGGUCAAUAGACGCAGGGCAGGUUUUCUAAUGGGCCCAAUACCCCGCUCGGGUAUUGGGUUGUCCUAGGCUCAUGCCUAAAAGAGGGUUUUGAUUUCUUUCUAUCCUCGGUGUCUAAAGUGGGUUUGAACACCAGUUCUCAAGUGGACAACUUGAGUUUGAAAAUACAAACAGCUAUCAGACGACUCACGUGCUAAUAAACUGUUUGUAUUUCCAACACAUUUUUGGAAUUGAUCAUAGGGGCUGGGAUUCCCACGAAACCCAAAAACAAUUUAAAUAAUGUAGGAAUAUGCCAUGAGAUGCGAUAGUUAAACUUUACAAAAUCGAAGCGUAUAAACACAUAAACAGUUAAUCAAAAGAAGAAAUUAAACAAUUGGUUAGAACCUAGUUCAAAAAUCUCCAGCAGAGUCUCGUCAUUUCUGUUUUACGAAGAAAUUUUGACUUUUUGAGAAAAGUUGCCACUUAAUUUUGAAAAGGAAUUAAGAAACCUUUAUAAAGUACUUCAAAUGAUUCAAAAUAGGAAAAUCAUUUUAAGUUAGAGAUUCUAGAUAAGCAGUUCCUAUUAACGUUUUAGGAAGGUGUUAGGCACCUAAAACGUCCGCUAACUUACGGUUAUCCGAACUGUUCGAAAACAUCUUUGAUUAACUUUCUAAAAUUUGAUUUAUUGAAAAAUGGUUGAAUUUUAGAAAUACUUUGAAAGUUUGCAAAAUUUAAUUUUUAGCGAAUUCAUUAGGGGAUUUGACUAAGUUUGCAAAAAGACAUGCAAAACAAAUAACCAAAAAGAAAGGGGAAGGGAGGAGAAGUAGUGAUUUAGGCUUUGAAGCCCAAAUCGCUAAACCUGUCCUAAUCUAGUAGGGUUGUCAACCCAUUUCUCCUUUCACCUGUCUUAAUUCUAUGUUUUUAAGCCUUUAGAUCGAAUUUUGCCUCCACCUGUAUUAAAUACAAUUUGGCUUCGAGACCCAAAUGAAUAAAUGAGAAAAUAAACAAAUAAAUAAACAAAGAUGAAAUAAACAACAAAUGAAAUUUUUGGGUCUUGUAGCCGAUUCUAAUGGGUUUAAUCCUUCUUAUUUUUUUCUUUGACUCCUUGCAAGCGUACUAAUGGGCGUUCAAAGUCUUCUAAACUGGUGGGCCUCAAUGGCCCAUUGCAAAAAUGUGGAAGGAAGGAGUCCAUUCAGACUCAGAGAAUAAAUUCACAUGCAACAAAGAAAAAAGAGGAAAUUAACACAUAUCUGGAAUACAAAGACAGAAGUAAAGAAAUUAACCUAUGUUCAAAAGCUGACACCUAAUGAAUGACUAACUAAAAAAGACAUGGGAAGACAUUAUGGCAUAUAAUAAAAUUCACAUUAGUCUAAUCUCUCUGUUUUCAUUCGGGAACAACUAAUAUGUUGCUAUGAGAAUCUUUUGGCGACCUCAGAUGCUACAAGAAAUAUGUCGUACCAAGGUUCAGGAAGCUAAAGAAAAUUAAAACCAUAUAGUUCACUCCAAGUUUUUAGUAAAUGAAGCAAACAACUUGUAAUUCAAACAUUACACAAGAAAAGUCCGCAUAAAGUAAGAAUAAAAUAUGAAUGAAUCAAUUCGACAAGGAUUGUACAUGGAUCGAAACUCACUAGGCUAGCAUGUGAAUUACUAGCAGUAAACAAGCGUGUUAUGCCAGAAAUAGGGGAGAAGAGAACAAUGAUAACCAAACUCACAAGUGUAUCCCAGGGAGGUAAACCAAUUGGGUGCCAUACUUGUUCGGAAUUAAAAAAAACUCACUUAACUAAACUUUACAUAUUUUUAUUUAUGCAUUGAACAAACAUGACAUCAAAAUUCUCAAAAAGGACUAAAUCAGAUUGCUAGACAAGACACGCGAGACAAAUCAAGUUUUGACAAGAACGGCCUUAAUUCCAAACCCCAAAAGAUUUUCGAACGUAUUACUUAGGUGGAAAAAUUAAAAUAUUGGCGUUUAGACAUCACAGAAGAAUAAAAAGAUCUUCUAUUAUCAAAACAUUCACUGGAUAUUCAAUUUAUUAAAUGAUAUCGCAUUCUUGAGAAAAGAAAUCAGAGAAAGGAAAACUACUCAAAACGGACAUUUUAAAGGAUCUUCUUGACAUCUUUGGAGGGUAAACCUUCCGCUUAUUUUGACAUUAGCCAUUAAAGACAACAUGAUGAAUAUUUUAUCUUGUUGAAACAAUGAAAAGACAGGAUGGACCAAACAUGCGUAAGACUCCAAACAUUUUCUACAAAAGAAAAAUCAAAGAGGAUAUGAAAUUUGCACUGCNNNNNNNNNNNNNNNNNNNNNNNNNNNNNNNNNNNNNNNNNNNNNNNNNNNNNNNNNNNNNNNNNNNNNNNNACAGUUGAAAUUAAUUGAAUAUCACAACGUGAACAUCAGCGCAACCAAACCUAUGGCCUUCAGGGCCUCUAAAACAUUCAAAACCCAGCCUUAUUCAUGAUUGUCACUAAACAAUUAAACUAAUUCUAUAGAGAGAAAAUAAGGGAUGAAGCAGAAAGUGACGAAGCUAAAAGAACAAGAGUAUGCUCACCUCUUUGGGUGCAGCAAAAUAGGGACCCGAGCUAUAAGCCGAAUUUGUCACCACUGGGAAACAAUCCUUUGGGAACUCUAACCCAAAUUGUCAGCUUUGAAAUUUUCUAGCUAAAUCGACAGCUUCAAAGUUUCCAUUUUUACUCAACUAAAAAAAGACUUUUACUGAUUUUUUGCCCUAAAUGGAUUUUUCCUUUCAAGACCUUAAUGGAGACAGGUGAAUUUUUCGCUCUUUUACAACUUCCCUUAAAAUUUCGAAACCCCCUAAAAGAAUGAAAACCAAAAAAAAUCCUCCUGGAGAAAGGAAGAACCCCCAUUAUCGACCAAAAACUUCAAACCCUAGAGAAUAUCGUGACCUCCCUUUCCUCUCCCCUCUUGAACCAAGAACGAAGGUCCUCUUGUAUAGAGGACAAAAUUGGGGCCUUCCGUAUUUGAAAAAAGGAAACCCUCAGAUCUAAAAUUCCCCAAAAAAUUCUCCUCCCAUCCCCAUCUCGUAUCCUCGAUCAUACUCCUUUUGUAUUUUCCUGAGAAAUUUGUGAUGGGUGGACCAAUAGGGUUUCGGGAAAAUUCAUCCUUUUCAAGAACCAAUGGAAAGUGUACCAAUAUGUACGAAAUAGUACCAUUCCAACCGAGAAACGUGGUAUUUAGCCAUUGGAGAGGCCACCUAACCUCGUUUCUAGAAGAUUUAAGGCUUCUCCUUGUACAAAUAUUGUGUGAAACAUGUAUGGAGAGAGAAAAAAACUGAGGGGCUAGGGAUGAGUCGAUUCGAAAAUGGGUUGGAGACGGGUUAACGGUCGGGUUUGCUUUUAGUUGUUCAUAGGUUAUAGUGUUGAUGAGAUUAUUGUUUUGAUGAAGAAGAAAAGGAGAUAUGGGAAUGGGCCGGGUCAAUUGAUUUUGGAGUGGGCUUGUGUGAGAUUAAGAGAGAGAAUGGGCUAGGUUGUAAAUUGGGUUGGAAUAACUAUCAAGGUUUUGGGAUUAAUAAUGGGUAGAUUAGGUCAAUUUUGGGGUUAUUUUAGAAAAUAACCUCAAUUGAAUUGGGAAUUGUCUAAAUCUAUUUAAAUUUUGGCCAAAUUGAGAAUAAUUUGGCCCAUUGUACUUCAAUCGGGGCCAAUUUGAUUUCGAUUAUAGCUAGAUUUAAUAGAUUAUCCAAAUUAAAUCAAAAUUCGAUACGAAUUUAUAUCUCACUCACUCCCGAGCUUCUCAGUUUAAUACAAUCAAAUGCAUAUUUAUCCAAAUAAAUUAUUUUCGAGAAUAAAUUAUAUUUACAUUAAGAUUUAAAUUAUUAUUUUUUGAAAUGAUCCUUAAUUGAAAUUUGAUAUUUGUGAAAUAAAAAUUUAAGUAAAAAAGUUAUAAUCUCGCAUAAUUGAAUGCGAUAAUAUAUAAUCGCUACAUAAAAUGACAAAAUUACGUAGAAAGUAUUUUGACAAAAAUUUAUUCGGAUGAAAUAAAUAUUUUAAUUUUAUUAACAACCGAAGAAGAUCAAAAUUGAACUUGGUUGUGGAGGACAAAAAUUAGGUGUCAGCAACUGGCCCCUUCAUUUGGGUAGGGUGGAUGCAAGUAACCCUGGACAAGGGGAGAUUGACGUUCCUAAUUUUUGUCCGACCACAAAUUCAUAUCUGAAAAGGGGUUGGUUUUUUCAUGAUUUUAUGGAGUUAUGGCCGGACCUCGGUAUCAGGCUUCCAACAUAUCUCAUAUUACAUGAGAAUUCAGGCCACUUGUAGUUCAUGGAGCUUGAUCUUAAGAACGAUUUUCACGAAAAUUCACCGCCUAUCACGGUUUUAGAGUUUUUGAUAAACCAAGAAGCUGGGGAAUAAAGGGAUUUGGGGGGAGGUUGUAAUGAAGUCGAGUUUUCUACAUAGAUCCCGGCUUACAUAUCCCUAGGAAUCGGGGAAUCAGACUGCGUGUAGUUUGACUCAAUCGGUAAAAAAGAUAGUCUUUUAUUUCAGAUGAUCUUUGGCUCAAGAUAAGUGACAAGUUGAUCGAGUUGCGGAAAAGAUGCUUGUAACCUAUUAACCAUGAAUGUGGGAUCCUUCACAUCCAUAGGCAAGAAAUUACCUGGACAUAAUUACCAAAACUCUAAGUGUGUUGCCACCCAAAUUUGAAAAAAAGAAAAGGUUACCCUUGGCAUGAGUUUAGAAAUAUACCGAAGGUGAAGCUGAGACCAGAACUUCCUAAAAUACCCAUAUGCCUUCUAAUAGAGGUGUGGUUAUAUGGUGGUGGUGAUCAUCAUUUAGCUUACGUCCAGAGAGUUUGACGUCCCUCUCUAGACUAUGCCCCGUUUUACUGCUAAGAAAGAGUUCCACGUUAUAUUGCAUCCUUUUUGGAGUCGUCCGCACCUGUGGUUUUGAUUUAAGAUUUUCAUCCUCUCGGAUUCUCUCGACAAUAUCUCAAACAGAAAUCAUCCGUAAUAAGCACAAUUCACAAAAGAGGUAUGUGGUAUUUUACCAUAUCUCUACGUGAGUUGUUGUCUAAAAAGUGAAGUCAUCUCUUCUUGUACCUGUUUGGAAGAAAUAACUUGUAGUAACAAACACAAAAACCUUCUUGAUUGUUUCAUAAUUAGCUCGUUUGUCGAGCGAACAUGUCUUCAAAGUGGGUAGCCCUUUUGGACACCACGAUACUUUAUACAGAACGGUCCCUACAACCGUGUAAUCUUAUCCUGGGGUGGUAACCCUUUUGGUUACCAAUAUCACUUGUUGUGCGUGGAAAAAUAACCUCUCUAGUUAUAGAUGAUGAUCCAUUUAUAAAUUUUCCUUAAAUUGUCAAGCUUUGGAUAAUCUUUCGCAUUAUUUGACGUUGGAUACGAGGCGACUUACAAAUAUCCUUUGAAUUGCUAGCUUUUAGGUAAUACUGCAUAUUAUCCGACUUUGGAUAAGAGAUGGCUUACAGAUAUCCCUCCAAUUGCUAGCUUUCAGGUGUUCCUACACAUCAUCCGACCUUGGAUACAAUAUGAAUUAUAGAUAAUCUCUCAAAUUGUUAGUCUUUGGGUAAUCCUGGACAUAAUCAAUCUUGGAUAUGACGCGGCUUAUAGAGAACCCUUGGACGUAUCAAUUUGAUAAUCUUGUAUAUUCUCCGGUAUGGAUUUAGUUGCGACUUACGGAUAACCUUUGAACUAUCAAUUUUUGGGCGAUCUUGCACACUAUUCGGUUAGGAUGUUGUUGUGUCUUACGGAUGACCUAUAGGUUACCAACUCAUAGGUAAUUUAGCGCACUAUUCUAUUUCAAAUAAUAUGACUUAUAGAUGACCCUCAAAUUGUCAAUUUUCAAGAAACCUUAUAUAUCAGUCAUUCUUAGAUAGUGACUUAAAAGUGUCCCUUCAAAUCGUGUGCUCUCAAUGCAUUCAGACGCUGAUUCAUGAAAAUAUUAUGAUAUCCUCGACACCUGCAUUACAUCUAGCGCGUCAACAGAUAUAUGAAAUGCUGAUGAUAUCAUCGACCCCAGCGUUGUGUCUAGUACAUUAAUAGAUAUUGAAUGAAGAUGAUAUCCUUGAUACCAACAUUGUGUCUAGUGCGUCAACAGAUAUUGAAUGCCUUCUGGGGCAAUGGUAUGAGAUGUCCUAUGAGGCAAUGAUAUGAAAUGGCCCUUGCGGCAAUGAUAUGAGAUUGCCCAGGCAGCAAUGAUAUGUAAUGGCCUUUGCGGCAAUGAUAUGUAAUGGCCUUCACGACAAUGAUAUGCAAUGGCCUUUGUGGCAAUGAUAUGCAAUGGACUUUGCGGCAAUGAUAUGUAAUGGACUUCGCGUAAAUGAUAUGCAAUGGCCUUCGCGGCGAUGAUAUGCAAUGGCCUUUGCGGCAAUGAUAUGUGAUGGCCUUUGAGAAAAUGAUAUGUAAUGGCCUUUGCGGCAAUGAUAUGCAAUGGCCUUUGCGGCAAUAAUAUGUAAUGGCCUUUGCAGCAAUGAUAUGUAAUGACCUUUGUGGCAAUGAUAUGCAGUGGUUCUUUUGCCAAAUUUUAAAAUAAUUUUACCUAACUUCAUUUGUCAGCGUCUUGCUUUCAACAUGUACCUGUACUCAAGGUAGAUGAUUAGUAGACACAAAGUCGCUUUCUCUAGCAGUUAUUUUUAGAAAAAUUCUAAAUACAAUAUUUGUAAAGAAGACAAGACACUUUUGUUUGUCCUCCAUGAUCUCAAGAAAUGAGAUGGACACUUCAAAAGGUCUUCAAUAUAUGGGUACUAAACCCAUUUUUAGGGCUACCCAAAAAUACCAUUCUUGAGCAUUAGUGCUCUGGUUUGGCUCCCAAUUUGCUCGGGGCUUUUUGAAGGAGACUCUCAUUUUUGUGUAUUGCUCCCUGGACCCACAAAAAAUGAUUAGUUUGAGUGAAACUACUCCGUGUUGACCUCCUUCAAUCCUUGACUUGCCCCCCUCCCCCGGCAUAUUUCAGGUACUUUGUCAUGUUGGGACUUCCACCUAUGACUACCCAUACCAAUUGAUGUCUAGGCAAUCACUAAGUUAAAGAUUUAUAUAGAUUUUUUAAAGUAGUUUUAAUUUUUAGAAGAUAGUUUUGAAAGCUUAUAUAAAACUUUAGAAGAUCUCUUCCAUUCAUGUCAUGUAAUAGCUCAACAAACAUCUGCCUCUUGAUUUUAACUAUCUCUGAUGGAGGAUUUCUAAAACUCAUCAUCCUUAUUGGAGGGUUCUUCAAAUAGUUUUGUCACAGCCAGAAAUUAAGUCUACCUAGACUUUGUCACAAUUGGUGGCUUCAAGAGAUUCGCUUAAACCUCCGGUGCUGGGGAAUUUGAAAUAUAUUCCAGUAUUUGGUGGAAAUUUUGAGGCCUCCCUCAAAAUUUCAGUCCCAGUUUAGAGUAGUCUGAGAUGAUAUCAUAUUGAGUGGAUCUGAAGCCUUUGAUGAUCUUCUUUCUCUUUGUUGGAUGUUGAUCUUCUCUUGUGAAUUGUUGAGAUUUCUUCUCAAAAAUUCUGCCCCAGUUUCCAUUUCCUGGGGUUAUAUGACUGAGCCGUUGAGGAGCCUACGUAUCCUGUUGAAGUAGUAAUCAGGUCAAACAUAGUUCAAGCUACGCUAGGGAUAUAUAUAGAAAAAUCUAAUGGGUUGACCGAAGCCAACAUAGGCCGCCUACGUAUCUCAUUCUUGAGAAUUCAAGUCAUCACGUAGUUCAUGCAUAUAGGAAAAGGAUAAAUUUUCCUAAGGGGUUGACCGAAACCGACAUAGGCCACCUACGUAUCCCUUUCUUGGGAAUUCAGGUCAAACGUAGUUCGUACAUAGAGGGAAAGGAUUUUAGGCAGUUACAUAAUAGAAAACAACAUUACUAUGAAUGCGAUUACAAGUAAAUUAACUAAAGAAACACAAAAACUAGAACAUCCUUCAAACAUAAUAUCUCUUUACCACAUCAGAAUUAAUUGGUUUGGUCCACUCUGUGUCAUCCAUCUUAGACAAAAUCAGAGCUCCUCCAGAUAGUACCUUGCAAACUAUGUAUGGCCCUUCCCAGUUUGGAGCGAACAUACCCUUGUACUCCUAUAGGUGAGGGAAUAUUUGUUUGAGAACCAAUUGCCCCACUUCAAAUGCUCAAGCUCUCACAUUCUUGUUAAAGGCACGAACCAUUCUGUGUUGGUACAACUGCCCAUGGCAUAGAGCGGCCAUUCUCUUUUUAUCAAUCAACAUGAGUUGUUCAUAGAGAGCGUGGACCCAUUCUUCGUUACUCAGUCCUGCUUCCUGAAUAAUCCUUAGGAAAGGUAUUUCAACCUCAGCAGGUAUCACAACUUCAUUCCCGUAAACUAGUAACUAGGGAGUUGCCCCGGUGGAGGUUCGAACCAUUGUUUGAUACCCUAGCAAGGCGUAAGGUAACAUCUCAUGCCAUAAUCUAUCAUUUUUUUACCAUUUUUAUCAAGAUCUUCUUGAUAUUCUUGUUGGCAGCCUCCACGGCUCCAUUCAUUUGGGGAUGAUAUACAGUCGAGUUGCGAUCCAUAAUCUUGAACUGAUCACAAAUUUCUUUCAUCAAGUGACUUCUCAAGUUUGCCCCAUUAUCAGUAAUGAUCGAUUUUGGUACUCCGAAUUGGCAAAUCAAGUUAUUCUUGAUGAUAUCUUCAACCACUUUCUUAGUGACGGCUCUGUACGAAGCAGCUUCGACCCACUUAGUGAAAUAAUCAAUGGCAACCAAAAUAAAUCUAUUCCUAUUCGAUGCUAAUGGCUCUAUUGGUCCGAUGACAUCCAUGCCCCAAGCUACGAAAGGCCAAGGCGAGUUUAUUGCGUGAAUCUCGUGUGGAGGCAUUCGAAUAAGAUCUUCGUGUAUUUGACAUUUUGGACAUCUCUGCACAUACUUACUACAAUUAUUUUCCAUAGUCAUCCAGAAGUAACCGGUUCUCAGGAUCUUUCUGGUAAGGAUGAACCCAUUCAUGUGGGGCCCACAAACUCCAGCGUGUACUUUUUUUAUCAGUUUAUCAGCUUCCGCAGCAUUGACUCAUCUUAAGAAUCCCAAAUCAGGAGUCCUCCUAAAAAGGAUUUCUCCAUUUGGAAAAUAGUUCUUUGCCAAAUGCCGGAUCAUCUUCUUUUGGUUGUUACUGGCCUCUUCAGGAUAUAUUCCAGAUUCUAAAUACCUUUUAAUGUCAUAGUACCAAGGAUUUCCAUCAGGCUCCUCUUCAACGUGUGUACAAUGUGCGGGUUGCUCCUUCAAGAUAAUUUCCAAAGGAUCAAUGUAACUCUGAUUUGGGUGCUGAAUCAUGGAAAAUAUAGUGGCCAAAGCAUCAGCAAACUCAUUUUGUAUCCGAGGGAUAUAUCUGAAAUCAACUUCUCUGAAUCUUUCACAUAAUUCUUGCACCAGUUCCACAUAAAGAGUAAUCUUGGGAUUUUUUACUGCCCAUUCUCCCCGUACCUGGUCAAUCAGCAAAUCUAAAUCCCUGAUUACUAACAACUCACAAAAACCUAUAUCAAGUGCCAAUUUGAGACCCAGGAUGCAAGCCUCAUAUUCAUCCAUGUUAUUGGUGCAGUGGAAACAUAACUUUCCAGUUACCAGAUAAUGUUGGCCCAUUUCUAACACCAAAACUGCUCUGAUUCCUGAACCUUUAAAGUUGACUGCCCCAUCAAAGAAUAGCCUCCAUCCGGGGCAAAUCUCUGUGAUAUCUUCCCCUACGAACAAAAUUUUCUCAUCUGGGAAGUAAGUUCGAAGUGGCUCGUAUUCCUCAUCAACUGGAUUUUUUGCCAAAUGAUCCGCUAAGGCUUGCCCCUUGAUUGCCUUCUGGGUUACAUACACAAUGUCAAACUCACUUAGGAAUAUUUGCCACUUGGCUAGCUUUCCUAUAGGCAUGUCCUUCUGAAAAAUAUACUUCAACGGGUCCAUUCUCGAGAUGAGGUAUAUUGUGUAGGACGAUAGAUAAUGCCUUAAGUUUUGUGCUGCCCAAGUCAAAGCACAACAUGCCCUUUCUACAAGAGUGUAAUGGGCUUCAUAUGGCAUGAACUUUUUACUCAAGUAUUAAAUGGCUUUCUCUUUUCUACCGGUCUAAUCAUGUUGCCCGAGGACAAAUCCGAAAGCAUUUUCUGAGACUGACAGGUAAAGCAACAAUGGAAGCAACAAUCGAAUUCCUUCUCUUGGUGGUACCAAAACCGAUGACGUAGACAAAUAUUCCUUGAUACGGUCAAAAACUCUCUGAUAUUCUUCUGUCCACUCAUUCAAUGCAUUUUUCUUUAGCAUCUUGAGAAUUGGAUCGCAUAUGAAUGUCGACUGAGCAAUAAAACGGCUAAUGUAAUUCAAACGACCCAUGAAAAUCAUAACUUCCUUCUUGGUUGUCGGUGGUGGCAAGUCCUGUAUUGUCUUAAUUUUUGAUGGGUAUAACUCUAUGCCUCUUCUGCUGACUAUGAACCCCAGUAACUUCCUUGAUGGCACACCAAAAACACACUUAGCAGGGUUUAAAUUCAAACAGUACUUUCUUAAUCAGUUGAAGAAUCUUUCUAGAUGGGUCAGAUGAUCCGAAAUCUUGCGGGAUUUGAUAAUUACGUCAUCCACGUACACCUCAAUCUCUUUAUGGAUCAUAUCAUAGAAAAUGGUCGUCAUAUCCCUCAUGUAUGUUGCUCCCGCAUUCUUGAGACCAAAUAGCAUUACCCUGUAAUGAUAGACACCCCAAGGCGUAAUAAAAGCCAUCUUUUCUGCAUCUUCCUCAUCCAUCAAUAUCUGAUGAUAACCAGCAAAACAAUCAACAAAAGACUGCAUUUCAUGCUUUGCUCAGUUAUCAAUGAGGAUAUGAAUGUUGGGCAAUGGAAAAUUAUCUUUAGGACUGGCUCUAUUCAAGUUUCUGUAGCCAACACAAAUGCGAAUCUUGCCAUCCUUCUUUGGUAUGGGGAAGAUGUUGGAUAAUCAUGUCGGAUACUUUGUGACCUCUACUGCCGUAGACUGGAUUUAUUUCAUCGCUUCUUCCUUGAUCUUUAAACUUAAGUCUGGCUUGAACUUCCGCAUAUUUUACUUGACUGGAUCAAACUCAGAAUUUAUUGGCAACUUAUGUGACAUAAUGCUGGUGCUAAACCCUGGCAUAUUAUCAUAGGACCGAUCAAACACGUCAAUAUAUUCCCAAAAUAGGUGAAUGAGCUCUCUCUUUUGUGCUUCUGCUAGGUGGACACUGAUGCUUGUUUCUUUGGUUUCAUCAUGAUCUCUGAGGUUGACUGUUUCAGUUUUCUCUAGGUUAGGUUUUUCCCGAUUCUCAAACUCCUCCAUAUCUUCAACUAAUUGUUCCUCAUCACCGUCCUUCCAAUCAUCAUCGUUCCCUUUAUUUUGUUUGUUUAAACUUUGACAUGACCUAACAUUGGCAGAUUUUAAGUUGUUAUUACUAUAAGGGACAAACAAACCAAGUUAGAUGAUGACAAAAUAAUAAAAAAAAUAUACAACUAGGAGUGUUCUAGAAAUAAUAAAAUUUUCUUAAUAGAUGAAGGCCUUUUCAUUGAAAUUUGAGAGCUAAUUACAAAACCAUAGCUCAUGACUUGCGUAAAUACAAGUCCAUGCCUUUUUUAAAGCAGUAAAAUACGAAAAGAAAGUUUUGAGAUAUAAAAGGUGGAUCGCAGGGCCUCUGCCAGAUCAUCACCAAUUUUAAAAACUAUUAGUAAUUUUCCUUUCACCUACCACAACGGGUGACAGGUUAUGAGUGGAGUGGAGGUCCAAUUUUACAAGGCCUUCUCUGGCACCAUCUUCUUCAACCCGCUGGAUUUUGGGAAAUCUUCUGAUACAGCAUUGCAUCCCUCGAACAAAUCUCCUAUCCUAUCCCCAAGACCAUCAUCAUCUGACACCUCUCGUACUGGAAAUGACUGGCACUGGAGUGGCAAGGUACUAAACAAACUUCUCUAUAACUCAUCCUCAACCCUAUCCUUUCUGGUAGGCUGAUAUCCUAACCCAUACUUAGAGCCUCUCUCUGGGAUCUCAAUAGGCUCGACAGUUCCUUGUAAAUUCUUAUCCAAGCCUCGAUCAGGUUCGAACCCAUUUCUUAAUAUCACCGUUGCAAUUAUUUGGUAGACAGAAGGCAUUGGUACUUUGGGCGUUGAAUCUCUGUCUAUGACAUUUACAAUUUCCACUGUAUAGAAACUGCUACCUUUUGGAACAUCUUCAAUCACAGGCACAUAACCAUUGGGAUGAUCCGGUCGACUUUCUUCUCCUUGGAUGACUACUUCAUAAUCCUCCCAAAUGAACUUCAAUAAUUGAUGAAGGGGUGAUGAAACUCUCUUUGCACUGUGUAUCCAUGGUAUUCCCAAGAGCAGGUUGUAGCUAAGAUGGAUAUCCACAACAUGAAACUUAGUCUUGAACUCAGCAGGCCCCAUUUGGAUGUGCAAAUCAAUCUCUCUUAUGGUAUCUCUCUGCCCUCCAUCGAAUGCUCUCAUAUUUACGUGGCUUUGAUGAAUUUUUCCCAGAUCAUAGCCCAUUUGAACCAACGUGGAGAGGGUAAGAAUAUUCACACCAGAUCCAUCAUCUAUUAAUAGCUGAUUAAUUGCAUAAUCAUAACAACUAAUGGUGACAUGCAUGGCUUUGUUGUGCAUCGCCCCUUCAAACGGCAACUCUUCAUCACUGAAUGAUAUGCGAUGAUUCCCCACAAUAUUUCCUAUCAUCGCAGCUAGGUUCUUUACACACGACCCUGCAGGAACAUAUGCUUUAUCUAAGACCUUCAAUAAAGCUUAUCGGUGGUAUUGCAAACUCAUUAAUAGUGCCAAGACAGAGAUUUGAGCUGGUGUCUUCUCUAAAUGUUUGAUAAUUGAAUAAUCUUUGGGUUGCAUACGCCUCUAAAAUUCUUCAGCCUCUCCUUUAGUGAUUGGCCUUCUCUGUGAAUCCCUUUUGUUGGUGAAUUUCUCAGGGAUGUAGCAUCGUCCUGAUCGCAUCAUCCCUUUGGCAGCAACGGUCUGCACAAUAAAUUCUUUUCUUGGCGGGGGAGCGUACACUUGAGUUGGUGCGGUCAUCACUGUAAAUGGGUCUGUCUCAUUGAUACUCAAGGUAUCCACAACCUUCUCUAUCUUUCCUACCUUUUCUGCUCUUUUGCAUUUUUCAUAGUUCACUUGGGUAAUGGUCUUGCCAGAUGCCCAUUUGCCCUCUAUUUCAAUCAUGUUAACUGUAUAUCCCCCAUGGUUGGGCAAUGGAUUACUGUUAACAUUUGGUGUAGGUGCCUGGAGCGUGAUGACUUUUUGAUCGAUUAAAUUCUGGAUCCUAUGUUUCAGGUAGCCACAAUUCUCUGUAUUGUGCCCCGCUGCUCCUGAAUGAUAGGCACAAUGUUGACUUGCAUCAAAAAUUGAGAGUUAGUAUUGACAUGCCUUGGCUGUAUUGGUUGCAAAUAACCAGCAUUCUUCAAUCUUUCAAACAAUUGGGUGCGACUUUCAGCUAGUGAGGUGAAGUUUUAAGGAAGGUUCUUUUCAUGGUUUGGACGUUGGGGGUUGUACUGUCUUUGAUUUGCAGGAGGAGGUACUUGGUGAUAAUUUUGAGGCACUUGGAAAUUUAUGCGGUUAUUUGAAGGAGUGGAUUGGAAAUGAGACUAAUAAUUUGGAGNNNNNNNNNNNNNNNNNNNNNNNNNNNNNNNNNNNNNNNNNNNNNNNNNNNNNNNNNNNNNNNNNNNNNNNNNNNNNNNACGUGCUGAAGGUUGGGUGACGGCGGAGAAGAUAAAACAUUUUUAGAGUUGAUCCUCUUUUUUGUUUUCGUAACAGGAUUAGCAAAAAUCACACCUACAUCUUCCUUUUUCUUCUUUGAGAACAUGACGGUCCCAGAUGACGUUGGGGUUUUGGCAAUUUUCCCUAUUCGAAUACCUUCUUCCAAUGAUGCUUCUAUUUUUACCAAAUCCACAAAAGUUGCCUUGACAGCGGACACCAUCCUGGAGUAAUAUUCUCCUUAUUGAGUGUGAGAGAACACGGAUACGAUUCUCUCCUCGGACAUGGGGGGUUGUACUUUGGCGACUUCUUUCCUCUAACGAAAAGCAUAGUCUCAAAAACGCUCAACAUUUCUCUAUUUGAUCUGAUCUAGUGAAUAUCAGUCAGGGACUAUUUCAAUGUUAAAUGCGAACCGGUCAAGGAAACCUUUGGCUAAUGCUUUCCAACCAGUCCACUUUUUCAGCUCCUGAGACAUGAACCACUCCAACGCUUCGCCACUUAAACUUCGACUGAAUAGGCACAUCAAUAACGCCUCAUUUUUCCCUAUCCCUACCAGUUGCUUACAGUACCUUCUCAGAUGGGCCAUUGGAUUUUCGGUACCAUGAAACAUCUCAAACUUAAGGACUUUGUACCCAUCUAGUAGGUCAACUCCCGGGUGAACACAUAAAUCGUCAUACCCCAAACCAUCGUGGUCCCUGGUUCCAUGAGACUCUUUGAUCCUCACGAUCUUUUCCUUCAUAGCUAGUAAAUUCCUUUUAUAUUAGGUCCUCCACUUUUUCUCCUUCUCCUCGUAAUGGUCCAUCUCGGGGUUAGAAAGAGGUUCAUAAAUAAAAGGGGAUAUGAUGGCUUGAGGGGGAUUCGGAAGGGAGACUUAAUUUUGUGGAUGAAACAAAGUGGGUUCGUAGGUGGGGCGGACAUUAUGAAAAUUAGAAAGGUUUUAUGGAAUUUGAGAGUGAAUUUGGGGAAUCUGAGAAGGAUUUUGCAUAUUUGGAAAUGAAUUUGGUGGAUUCGAAGGUAGGUUUGACGUAUUUUGUGGGUUUGAGAGUGAAUCUUAUGGAUUUGGCAAUGCAUUUUGUUGAUUUAAAAAUGUGUUUUGAGGAUUUGGGAAUGGAUUUGGAGACAGGCGGGGUUAGAGAUGGAUUUUGCGGAGGGUAGGCGUCUGGGUUAUUUUCACGAUUGGUAUUUUGGAAAAAUGGGGGAGCGGAGAUGGACGAUACGUUAUUUGGCUGAUCCCAAAGAGUAGGGGUGCUGAGGGGAGAAAUUUAUAGUGGAGUCCCGUUUCCUCUCUAAGCGAGAGCAUUGACGGUGAUGGCCAAGUUAGCCAAAUCUCGAGUGCGAUUUAUUUCUUCCUGAAGCAUUUCUAACUUUCUUGCAAGUUCCGCAAUCAUCUCAUUUUGUUCUGCUAUCACAUUGUUCCGGUUAGUCAGUGCGCUUUCUUUAUCAUUUCCUAUCAUUUUUGAAUGAUGGUCAGAUGAUGGGUUUUUGUGCACUUUCGAGCGGGUGAAGUAGGGAUGUUCUGCCAGCUUAUAUCAACAUAGAGUAAUUUCUAUUAUCUAUAAAGUAAAACAACUCAAAGGCAGAUGUGUUAGUUUCCGUGUAUGAUAAGUAAUUUAAAAUAUUUGACAGGAAAUAACUACAUAGAGUUGUUUGGGUCAUAGGCAAAUUCAUCCAUAGGAGCAUAGCGGAUAAACUUGCUUUUGAUCCAAACAAGCACACAUGACAGUUAUAUUACACAAAACAUUAUAAUAUUGUGUAUCCUAACAGGGGUUACCCUUUUUGAGCCAAUGGUUCAGGCCUAAUGAUUUUGAAGAAAAUAUAUGCUUUCUUAAAGUCAAUCCGUUAUCCCCCAACUUAUAUAGACACAAAAAGGGCAAAAAUGCCUACAAAAGAUAACGAAAUAGGAAUACAAUCUUUAGGGGGAAAAGGGGAAAAAACCUGAAAGAGGAUAAGUUCCCUUGCAGGGGAAAUAGAAAAACUAGCUACUAGAGGCUCCUUCGUCUGCCUUUGCCUUCUUUGCUUCAUCCAUUUCUUUUAUUGGUGACAUCAGUUGACGUUCAAACUAUGCCUUAGAUGCAACCUCCUAAAUCUAUCAAUUUCUUGCUUAUCUUGCUUCAAUUCUUCUUACAAAAGUAAACAAAUCAAGCUUUUUCCCGACACCCAAAGGAUAAUGGAUUAAAUUUAGACAAGCAUGUAUUUUUUUCAACACAUAAAUAUGAUUCGUCUAUAAUUAGCUCGAGGUCAAUAGAUGCAGGGCAGGUUUUCUAAUGGGCCCAAUACCCCGCUCAGGUAUUGGGUUGUCCUAGGCUCAUGCCUAAAAUAGGCUUUUGGUUUCGUUCUAUCCUCGGUGUCUAAAGUGGGUUUCAACACCAGCUCUCAAGCGGACAACUUGAGUUUGAAAAUACAAACAGCUAUCAGACGACUCACGUGCUAAUAAACUGUUUGUAUUUCCAACACAUUUUUGGAAUUGAUCAAUAGGGGCUAGGAUACCCACGAAACCCCAAAACAAUUUAAAUAAUGUAGGAAUAUGCCAUGAGAUGCAAUAGUUAAACUUUACAAAAUCGAAGCAUAUAAACACAUAAACAGUUAAUCAAAAGAAGAAAUUAAACAAUUGGUUAGAACCUAGUUCAAAAAUCUCCAGCAGUUUGUGAAGAUAUUUUGACUUUUUGAGAAAAGUCGCCACUUAAUUUUGAAAAGGAAUUAAGAAACCUUUAUAAAGUACUUCAAAUGAUUCAAAAUAGGAAAAUCAUUUUAAGUUAGGGAUUCUAGACAAGCGGUUCCUAUUAACGUUUUAGGAAGGUGUUAGGCACCUAAAACGUCCGCUAACUUACGGUUAUCCGAACUGUUCGAAAACAUCUUUGAUUAACUUUCUAAAAUUUGAUUUAUUGAAAAAUGGUUGAAUUUUAGAAAUACUUUGAAAGUUUGCAAAAUUUAAUUUUUAGCGAAUUCAUUAAAGGAUUUGACUAAGUUCGCAAAAAGACAUGCAAAACAAAUAACCAAAAAGAAAGGGGAAGGGAGGAGAAGUAGUGAUUUAGGCUUUGAAGCCCAAAUCGCUAAACCUGUCCUAAUCUAGUAGGGUUAUCAACCCAUUUCUCCUUUCACCUAUCUUAAUUCUAUGUUUUUAAGCCUUUAGAUCGAGUUUUGCCUCCACUUGUAUUAAAUACAAUUUGGCUUCGAGACCUGAAUGAAUAAAUGAGAAAAUAAACAAAUAAAUAAACAAAGAUGAAGAAACAACAAAUGAAAUUUUUGGGUCUUGUAGCCGCUUCUAAUGGGUUUAAUCCUUCUUAUUUUUUUCUUUGACUCCUUGCAAGCGUACUAAUGGGCGUUCAAAGUCUUCCAAGCUGGUGGGCCUCAAUGGCCCAUUGCAAAAAUGUGGAAGGAAGGAGUCCAUUCAGACUCAAAGAAUAAAUUCACAUGCAACAAAGAAAAAGAGGAAAUUAACACAUAUCUAGAAUGCAAAGACAGAAGUAAAGAACUUAACCUAUGUUCGAAAGCUGACACCUAAUGAAUGACUAACUAAAAAAGACAUGGGAAGACAUUAUGGCAUAUAAUAAAAUUCACAUUAGUCUAAUCUCUCUGUUUUCAUUCGGGAACAACUAAUAUGUUGCUAUGAGAAUCUUUUGGCGACCUCAGAUGCUACAAGAAAUAUGUCAUACCAAGGUUCAGGAAGCUAAAGAAAAUUAAAACCAUAUAGUUCACUCCAAGUUUUUAGUAAAUGAAGCAAACAACUUGUAAUUCAAACAUUACACAAGAAAAGUCCGCAUAAAGUAAGAAUAAAAUAUGAAUGAAUCAAUUCGACAAGGAUUGUACAUGGAUCGAAACUCACUAGGCUAGCAUGUGAAUUACUAGCAGUAAACAAGCGUGUUAUGCCAGAAAUAGGGGAGAAGAGAACAAUGAUAACCAAACUCACAAGUGUAUCCCAGGGAGGUAAACCAAUUGGGUGUCAUACUUGUUCGGAAUUAAAAAAAACUCACUUAACUAAACUUUACACAUUUUUAUUUAUGUAUUGAACAAACAUGACAUCAAAAUUCUCAAAAAGGACUAAAUCAGAUUGCUAGACAAGACACGCAAGACAAAUCAAGUUUUGACAGAGAACGGCCUUAAUUCCAAACCCCAAAAGACUUUCGAACAUAUUACUUAGGUGGAAAAAUUAAAAUAUUGGCGUUUAGACAUCAUAGAAGAAUAAAAAGAUCUUCUAUUAUCAAAACAUUCACUGGAUAUUCUAUUUAUUAAAGGAUAUCACAUUUUUGAGAAAAGAAAUCAGAGAAAGGAAAACUACUCAAAACGGACAUUUUAAAGGAUCUUCUUGACAUCUUUGGAGGGUAAACCUUCCGCUUAUUUUGACAUUAGCCAUUAAAGACAACAUGAUGAAUAUUUUAUCUUGUUGAAACAAUGAAAAGACAGGAUGGACCAAACAUGCGUAAGACUCCAAACAUUUUCUACAAAAGAAAAAUCAAAGAGGAUAUGAAAUUUGCACUGCCAGGCCACUAUUUUGAAUGGAUAACAACUAACGGUACAUGAACAAAAUUGUAUCGAGGAAAGACCAAACAACUAGUAAUGACACAACAUCAAAACCGUAAAUUGCCAACUUCCAUCAAUAUGCAGUUUUCUAACCCAUAUAGUCAAACAAAUAGCGACAUAAAACUCAACCCAACAGGUUUUGAUCAAAAUUUAAACAUGCAUUCAAUAAACAUUCUUUUCUUCCUUAGCCGACACAGCUCGCAUAUAAUACAAAAUACAGUUGAAACUACUUGAAAAUCACAACGUGAACAUCAUCGCAACCAAACCUAUGGCCUUCAGGGCCUCUAAAACAUUCAAAACCCAGCCUUAUUCAUGAUUGUCACUAAACAAUUAAACUAAUUCUAUAGACGGAAAAUAAGGGAUGAAGCAGAAAGUGACGAAGCUAAAAGAUCAAGAGUAUGCUCACCUCUUCGGGUGCAGCAAAACAGGGACCCGAGCUAUAAGCCGAAUUUGUCACCACUGGGAAACAAUCCUUCGGGAACUCUAACCCAAAUUGUCAGCUUUGAAAUUUUUUAGCUAAAUCAACAGCUUCAAAGUUUCCAUUUUUACUCAACUAAAAAAAGUCUUUUACUGAUUUUUUGCCCUAAAUGGAUUUUUCCCUUCAAGACCUUAAUGGAGAUAGGUGAAUUUUUCGCUCUUUUACAACUUCCCUUAAAAUUUUGAAACCCCCUAAAAGAAUGAAAACCAAAAAGAAAUCCUCCUGGAGAAAGGAAGAACCCCCUUUAUCGACCAAAAACUUCAAACCCUAGAGAAUAUCGUGAUCUCACCUUCCUCUCCCCUCUUGAACAAAGAACGAAGGUCCUCUUGUAUAGAGGACAAAAUUGGGGCCUUCCGGAUUUGAAAAAAGGAAACCCUCAGAUCUAAAAUUCCCCAAAAAAUUCUCCUCCCAUCCUCAUCUCGUAUCCUCGAUCGUACUCCUUUUGGAUUUUUCUGAGAAAUUUGUGACGGGUGGACCGAUAGGGUUUCGGGAAAAUUCAUCCUUUUCAAGAACCAAUGGAAAGUGUACCAAUAUGUAUGAAAUAGUACCAUUCCAACCGAGAAACGUGGUAUUUAGCCGUUGGAGAGGCCACCUAACCUCGUUUCUAGAAGAUUUGAGGCUUCUCCUUGUACAAAUAUUGCGUGAAACACGUAUGGAGAGAGAAAAAAAUUGAGGGGCUAGGGCUGAGUCGAUUCGAAAAUGGGUUGGAGAUGGGUUAAGGGUCGGGUUUGCUUUGAGUUGUUCAUAGGUUAUAGUGUUGAUUAGAUUAUUGUUUUGAUGAAGAAGAAAAGGAGAUAUGGGAAUGGGCCAGGUCAAUUGAUUUUGGAGUAGGCUUGUGUGAGAUUAAGAGAGAGAAUGGGCUAGGUUGUAAAUUGGGUUUGAAUAACUAUCAAGGUUUUGGGAUUAAUAAUGGGUAUAUUAGGUCAAUUUUGGGGUUAUUUUAGAAAAUAACCUCAAUUGAAUUGGGAAUUGUCUAAAUCUAUUUAAAUUUUGGCCAAAUUGAGAAUAAUUUGGCCCAUUGUAUUGCAACCGGGGCCAAUUUGAUUUCGAUUAUAGCUAGAUUUAACAGAUUAGCCAAAUUAAAUCAAAAUUCGAUACGAAUUUAUAUCUCACUCACUCCCGAGCUUCUCAGUUUAAUACAAUCAAAUGCAUAUUUAUCCAAAUAAAUUAUUUUCGAGAAUAAAUUAUAUUUAAAUUAAGAUUUUAAUUAUUAUUUUUUGAAAUGAUCCUUAAUUGAAAUUUGAUAUUUGUGAAAUAAACAUUUAAGUAAAAAAGUUAUAAUCUCACAUAAUUGAAUGCGAUAAUAUAUAAUUGCUACAUAAAAUGACAAAAUUACGUACAAAGUAUUUUGACAAAAAUUUAUUCGGAUGAAAUAAAUAUUUUAAUUUUAUUAACAACCGAAGAAGAUCAAAAUUGAACUUGGUUGUGGAGGUAAAAAAUUAGAUGUCAACAACUGGCCCCUCCCUUUGGGUAGGGUGGAUGCAAGUAACCCUGGACAAGGGGAGAUCGACGUUCCUAAUUUUUGUCCGACCACAAAUUCAUAUCUGAAAAGGGGUUGGUUUUUUCAUGAUUUUAUGGAGUUAUGGCCGGACCUCGGUAUCAGACUUCCAACAUAUCUCAUAUUACAUGAGAAUUCAGGCCACUUGUAGUUCAUGGAGCUUGAUCUUAAGAACUAUUUUCACGAAAAUUCACCGUCUAUCACGGUUUUAGAGUUUUUGAUAAACCAAGAAGCUGGGGAAUAAAUGGAUUUGGGGGGAGGUUGUAAUGAAGUCGAGUUUUCUACAUAGAUCUCAGCUUACAUAUCCCUAGGAAUCGGAGAAUCAGACUGCUUGUAGUUCGACAUAAUCGGUAUAAAAGAUAGUCUUUUAUUUCAGACGAUCUUUGGGUCAAGAUAAGUGACAAGUUGAUCGAGUUGCGGAAAAGAUGCUUGUAACCUAUUAACCAUGAAUAUGGGAUCCUUCACAUCCAUAGGCAAGAAAUUACCUGGACAUAAUUACCAAAACUCUAAGUGUGUUGCCACCCAAAUUUGAAAAAAAGAGAAGGUUACCCUUGGCAUGAGUUUAGAAAUAUCUCGAAGGUGAAGCUGAGACCAGAACUUCCUAAAAUACCCAUAUGCCUUCUAAUAGAGGCGUGGUUAUAUGGUGGUGGUGAUCAUCAUUUAGCUUACGUCCAGAGAGUUUGACGUCCCUCGCUAGACUAUGUCCCGUUUUACUGCUAAGAAAGAGUUCCACGUUAUGUUGCACCCUUUUUGGAGUCGUCCGCACCUGUGGUUUUGAUUUGAGAUUUUCAUCCUCUUGGAUUCUCUCGACAAUAUCUCAAAUAGAAAUCAUCAGUAAUAAGCACAAUUCACAAAAGUGGUAUGUGGUAUUUUACCAUAUCUCUACGUGAGUUGUUGUCUAAAAAGUGAAUUCAUCUCUUCUUGUACCUGUUUGGAAGAAAUAACUUGUAGUAACAAACACAACAACCUUCUUGAUUGUUUCAUAAUUAGCUUUUUUGUCGAGCGAACAUGUCUUCAAAGUGGGUGGCCCUUUUGGACACCACGAUACUUUAUACAGAACGGUCCCUACAACCGUGUAAUCUUAUGCUGGGGUGGUAACCCUUUUGGUUACCUAUAUCACUUGUUGUACGUGUAGUUCAUGGAGCUUGAUUUUAAGCACAAUUUUCACAAAAAUUCACUGCGUAUCACGGUUUUAGAGUUUUUGAUAAACCGAGAAGCUGGGGAAUAAAGGGUUUUGGGGAGAGGUUGGAAUGAAGUCAAGUUUUCUACAUAGAUCCCAGCUUACAUAUUCCAAGGACUCGGGGAAUCAAACUACUUGUAGCUCGACUCAAUCGGUAGAAAAGAUAGUCUUUUAUUUCUGACGAUCUUUGGCUCAAGAUGAGUGACAAGUUAAUUGAGUUUUGGAAAAGAGGCUUGUAACCUCUUAACCAUGAAUGUGGGAUCUUUCACAUCCAUAGUCAAGAACUUACCAGGACAUAAUUUCCAAAACUCUAAGUGUGUUGCCACCCAAAUUUGAAAAAAAAAAAAGGUUACCCUCGGCAUGAGUUUAGAAAUAUCCCGAAGGUGAAGAUGAGACCAGAACAUCCCAAAAUACCCAUAUACCUUUUAAUAGAGGCGUGGUUAGGUGGUGGUGGUGAUCAUCAUUUAGCUCGCGUCUAGAGAGUUUGACGUCCCUCUCUAGACUAUGUCCCAUUUUGCUGCUAAAAAAGAGUUCCACGUUAUGCUGCGUCCUUUUUGGAGUCAUCUGCACCUGUGGUUUUGAUUUGAUAUUUUCAUCCUCUUGGAUUCUCUCAACAAUAGCUCAAACAGAAAUCAUCAGUAAUAAGCACAAUUCACAAAAGAGGUAUGUGGUAUUUUACCAUAUCUCUACGUGAGUUGUUCUCUAAAAAGUGAAGUCAUCUUUUCUUGUACCUGUUUGGAAGAAAUAACUUGCAGUAACAAACCAAACAACCUUCUUAGUUGUUGGAUAAUUAGCUCGUUUGUCGAGCGACCAUGUCUUCAAAGUGGGUGGCUCUUUUGGACACCGACGAUACUUUAUACAGAAUGGUCCCUACAACCGUGUAAUCUUAUGUUGGUGAGGCAACCCUUUUGGUUACCUAUAUCACUUGUUGUACGUGGAAAAAUAACCUCUCUAGUUAUAGCCGAUGAUCGAUUUGUUAAUUUUCCUUAAAUUGUCAAUCUUUGGAUAAUCUUGCGCAUUAUUUGAUGUUGGAUACGAGGCGACUUACAAAUAUCCUUUGAAUUGCUAGCUUUUAGGUAAUCCUGCAUAUUAUCCAACUUUGGAUAAGAGAUGGAUUACAGAUAUCCCUCCAAUUGCUAGCUUUCAGGUGUUCCGACACAUCAUCCGACCUUGGAUACAAUAUGACAUAUAGAUAAUCUCUCAAAUUGUUAGUCUUUGGGUAAUCCUGCACAUAAUCAAUCUUGGAUAUGACGCGGCUUAUAGAGAACCCUUGGACGUAUCAAUUUGAUAAUCUUGCAUAUUCUUCGAUAAGGAUUUAGUUGCGACUUAUGGAUAACCUUUGAACUAUCAAUUUUUGGGUGAUCUUGCAAACUAUCCGGUUAGGAUGUUGUUGUGGCUUACGGAUGAACUACAGGCUAUCAACUCAUAGGUGAUUUAGUGCACUAUCCUAUUUCAAAUAAUAUGACUUAUAGAUGACCUUCAAAUUGUCAAUUUCCAGGAAAACUUAUAUAUCAGUCAUCCUUAGAUAGUGACUUAAAGGCGUCCCUUCAAAUCGUGUGCUCUCAAUGCAUUCAGAUGCUGAUUCAUGAAAAUAUUAUGAUACCCUCGAUGCCAGGGUUGCAUCUAGCGCGUCAACAGAUAUAUUGAAUGCUGAUGAUAUCCUCGACGCCAGCGUUGUAUCUAGCGCAUCAACAGAUAUUGAAUGACGAUAAUAUCCUUAAUGUCAGUAUUGUGUCUAAUGAGUCAACAGAUAUUGAAUUCCUUCUGGGGUGAUGGUAUGAGAUGGACUUUGUGGCAAUGAUAUGAAAUGGCCCUCGCGGCAAUGAUAUGCGAUUGCCCUAGCGGCAAUGAUAUGUAAUGGCCUUAGUGGAAAUGAUAUGUAAUGGCCUUUGCGGCAAUGAUAUGUAAUGGCCUUCGCAGCAAUGAUAUGUAAUGGCCUUCGCGGCAACAAUAUCCAAUGGCCUUCACGGCAAUGAUAUGCAAUGGCCUUUGCGACAAUAAUAUGUAAUGGCCUUUGAGACAAUGAUAUGUGAUGGCCUUUGCGACAAUGAUAUGCAAUGGCCUUUGCGGCAAUAAUAUAUAAUGGCCUUUGAGGCAAUGAUAUGUAAUGGCUUUUACGGCAAUGAUAUGCAGUGGCCCUCUUGGCAAAUUUUAAAAUAAUUUUACCUGACUUCAUUUGUCAGCGUCUUGCUUUCUACAUGUACCCGUACUUAAGAUAGACGAUUAGUAGACACAAAGUCGCUUUUGCUAGCGACUAUUUUUAGAAAAAUUCUAAUACAAUAUUUGUAAAGAAGACAAGACUCUUUUGUUUGUCCUCCAUGAUCUCAAGAAAUGAGAUGGACACUUCAAAAGGUCUUCAAUAUAUGGAUACUAAACCCAUUUUUAGGGCUACCCAAAAAUACCAUUCUUCAGCAUUAGUGCUCUGGUUUGGCUCCCAAUUUGCUCGGGGCUUUUUUAAGGAGACUCUCAUUUUUGUGUAUUGGUCCCUGGACCCACAGAAAAUGAUUAGUUUGAGUGAAACUACUCCGUGUUGACCUCCUUCAAUCCUUGAUUUUCCCCCCUCCCCCGACAUAUUUCAGGUACUUUGUCAUGUUGGGACUUCCACCUAUGACUACCCAUCCCAAUUGAUGUCUAGGCAAUCACUAAGUCAAAGAUUUAUAUAGAUUUUUUAAAGUAGUUUUAAUUUUUAGAAGAUAGUUUUGAAAGCUUAUAUAAAACUUUAGAAGAUCUCUUCCAGUCAUGUCAUGUAAUAGCUCAACAAACGUCUGCCUCUUGAUUUUAACUAUAUCUGAUGGAGGAUUUCUAAAACUCAUCAUCCUUAUUGGAGUGUUCUUCAAAUAGUUCUGUCAUAGCCAGAAAUUGAGUCUACCUAGACUUUGUCACAAUUGGUGGCUUCAAGAGAUUGGCUUAAACCUCCUGGGGAAUUUGAAAUAUAUUCCAGUAUUUGGUGGAAAUUUUGAGGCCUCCCUCAAAAUUUCAGUCCCAGUUUAGAGUAGUCUGAGAUGAUAUCAUCUUGAGUGGAUCUGAAGACUUUGCUGAUCUUCUUUCUCUUUGUUGGAUGUUGAUCUUCUCUUGUGAAUUGUUGAGAUUCCUUCUCCAAAAUUCUGCCCCAGUUUCCAUUUCCUGGGGUUAGAUGACUGAGCCGUUGAGGAGCCUACGUAUCCCGUUGAAGCAGUAAUCAGGUCAAACAUAGUUCAAGCUAUGCUAGGGAUAUAUAUAGAAAAAUCUAAUAGGUUGACCGAAGCCGACAUAGGCCGCCUACGUAUCUCAUUUUUGAGAAUUCAAGUCAUCACGUAGUUCAUACAUAAAGGAAAAGGAUAAAUUUUCCUAAGGGGUUGACCGAAGCCGACAUAGGCCACCUACGUAUCCCUUUCUUGGGAAUUCAGGUCAAACGUAGUCCGUACAUAGAGGGAAAGGAUUCUAGGAAGUUACAUACUAGAAAACAACAUUACUACGAACGUGAUUACAAGUAAAUUAACUAAAGAAACACAAAAACUAGAACAGCCUUCAAACAUAAUAUCUCUUUACCACAUCAAAAUUAAUUGGUUUGGUCCACUCUGUGCCAUCCAUCUCAGACAAAAUCAGAGCUCCUCCAUAUAGUACCUUGCGAACUAUGUAUGGACCUUGCCAGUUUGGAGCGAACUUUCCCUUGUACUCCUCUUGGUGAGGUAAUAUUAGUUUGAGAACCAGCUUCCCCACUCCAAAUGUUCGAGCUCUCACAUUCUUUUUAAAGGCACAAACCAUUCUGUGUUGGUACAGCUGCCCAUGUCAUUGAGCGACCAUUCUCUUUUCAUCAACAAUAUGAGUUGUUCAUAGCGAGUGCAGACCCAUUCUCUGUUACUCAGUCCAGCUUCCUGAAUAAUCCUUAGGGAAGGUAUUUCAACCUCAGCAGGUAUCACAACUUCAUUCCCGUAAACCAGUAAAUAGGGAGUUGCCCCGGUGGAGGUUCAAACCGUUGUUCCAUACCCUAUCAAGGCAUAAGGUAACAUCUCAUGCCAUGAUCUAUCAUUUUCGACCAUUUUUCUCAAGAUCUUCUUGAUAUUAUUGUUGGAACCCUCCACGGCUCCAUUCAUUUGGGGACGAUAUGCAGUCGAGUUGCGAUGCACAAUCUUGAACUGAUCACAAAUUUCUCAUCAAGUAACUGUUCAAGUUUGCCCCAUUAUUAGUAAUGAUCGAUUCCGGCACUUCGAAUCGGCUAAUCAAGUUAUUCCUAAUGAAAUCUGCAACCACUUUCUUAGUGACGGCUCUGUACGAAGCAGCUUCGACCCACUUAGUGAAAUAAUCAAUGGCAACCAAAAUAAAUCUAUGCCCAUUUGAUGCUAAUGGCUCUAUUGGUCUGAUGAAACCAAUGCCCCAAGCUAAGAAAGUCCAAGGCAAAUUCAUUGCAUGAAGCUCGUGUGUAGGCAUUCGAAUCAGAUCUCUGUGUAUUUGACAUUUUGGACAUCUUUGCACAUACUUACUACAAUCAUUUUCCAUAGUCAUCCAGAAGUAACCAGUUCUCAGGAUCUUUCUGGCAAGGACGAACCCAUUCAUGUGGGGCCCGUAAACUCCAGCAUGUACUUCUUUUAUCAGUUUAUUGGCUUCCGCAGCAUCGAUUCAUCUUAAGAAUCCCAAAUCAGGAGUCCUCCUAAAAAGGAUUUCUCCAUUUGGAAAAUAGUUCUUUGCCAAACGCCGGAUCAUCUUCUUUUGGUUUUUACUGGCCUCUUCAGGAUAUAUUCCAGCUUCCAAAUACCUUUUAAUGCCAUAGUACCAAGGCUUUCCAUCAGGCUCCUCUUCAAGGUGUGUACAAUGCACGGGUUGCUUCUUCAAGCUGAUUUCCAAAGGAUCAAUGUAACUCUGAUCUGGGUGAUGAAUCAUGGAAGAUAUAGUGGUCAAAGCAUCGGCAAACUCAUUUUGUAUCCGAGGGAUAUGCCUGAAAUUAACUUCACAGAAUCUUUUACAUAAUUCUUGCACUAGCUUCACAUAAGGAGUAAUCUUGGGAUUUUUUACUGUCCAUUCUCCCCGUACCUGGUGAAUCAGCAAAUCUGAAUCACCGAUGACUAACAACUCAUAAACACCCAUACAAGUGCCAACUUGAGACCCAGAAUGCAAGCCUCAUAUUCAGCCAUGUUAUUGGUGCAGGGGAAACGCAACUUUGCAGUUACCGGAUAAUGUUGGCCCGUUUCUGACACCAAAAUUGCUCUAAUUCCUGAACCUUUAAAGUUGACUGCCCCAUCAAAGAAUAGCCUCCAUCCGGGGUAAAUCUCUGUGAUAUCUUCCCCUACGAACAAAAUUUCCUUUUCUGGGAAGUAAGUUUGAAGUGGCUCGUAUUCCUCAUCAACUGGAUUUUCUGCCAAAUGAUCCGCUAUGGCUUGCCCCUUGAUUGCCUUCUGGGUUACGUACACAAUGUCAAACUCACUCAGGAAUAUUUUCCACUUGGCUAGCUUUCCUGUAGGCAUGUCCUUCUGAAAAAUAUACUUCAAUGGAUCCAUUCUCAAGAUGAGGUUUGUUGUGUAGGACGACGGAUAAUACCUCAACUUUUGUGUUGUCCAAGUCAAAGCACAACAUGUCCUUUCUACAAGAGUGUAAUGGGCUUUAUAUGGCGUGAACUUUUUACUCAAGUACAAAAUGGCUUUCUCUUUUCUGCCGGUCUCAUCAUGUUGCCCGAGGACACAUCCAAAAGAAUUUUUUGAGACUGAUAGGUAAAGCAACAAUGGAAUUCCUUCUCUUGGUGGUACCAAAACCGGCGGCACAGAUAAAUAUUCCUUGAUGCGGUCAAAAUCUCUCUGACAUUCUUCUGUCCACUCAUUCAAUGCAUUUUUCUUCAGCAUCUUGAGAAUUGGUUCGCAUAUAUCUGUCGACUAAGAGAUAAACCAGCUAAUAUAAUUCAAAUGACCCAUGAAACUCAUAACUUCCUUCUUGGUUCUCGGCGGUGGCAAGUCCUGUAUUGUCUUAAAUUUGGAUGGGUCUAACUCUAUGCCUCUUCUGCUGACUAUGAACCCCAACAACUUCCCUGAUGGCACACCAAAAGAACACUUAGUAGGGUUUAAUUUUAAACUGUACUUUCUUAAUCUGUUGAAGAAUUUUUCUAGAUGGGUCAGAUAAUCCGAACUCUCGUGGGAUUUGAUAAUUACGUCAUCCACGUACACCUCAAUAUCUUUAUGGAUCAUAUCAUGGAAAAUGGUUGUCAUAGCCUUCAUAUAUGUUGCACCCGCAUUCGUGGGACCAAACGGCAUUACCCUGUAAUGAUAGACACCCUAAGGCGUAAAUAAAGCCGUCUUUUCUGCAUCUUCCUCAUCCAUCAAUAUCUGAUGAUAGCCAGUAAAACAAUUAAUAAAAGACUGUAUUUCAUUCUUUGCACAUUUAUCAAUGAGGAUAUGAAUGUUAGGCGAUGGAGAAUUAUCUCUAGGACUAGCUCUAUUCAAGUCUCUGUAGUAAACACAAAUGCGAAUCUUGCCAUCCUUCUUUGGCACAGGGACGAUGUUGGCUAACCACGUUGGAUUCUUUGUGACCUCUACUACCUUAGACUGGAUUUGUUUCAUCACUUCUUCCUUGAUCUUUAAACAUAAGUCUGGCUUGAACUUUCGCAUUUUUUACUUGACUGGAUCAAACUCAGAAUUUAUCGAUAACUUAUGUUACACAAUGCUGGUGCUCAACCCUGGUAUAUUAUCAUAGGACCAAGCAAACACGUCAAUAUUUUCCCGCAACAGGUGAAUGAGCUCUCUCUUUUGUGCUUUCACCGGGUGGACACUGACGCUUGUUUCUUUGGUUUCAUCAUGAUCUCCGAGGUUGACUGUUUCAAUUUCCUCCAGGUUGGGUUUUUCCCAAUUCUCAAACUCCUCCAUAUCUUUAACUAAUUGUUCCUCAUCACCGUCCUUUCAAUCAUCAUCGUUCCCUUCAUUUUGUUUGUUUAAACUUUGACAUGACAUGACAUUGGAAGAUUUUAAGUUUUUGUUACUGUAAGGGACAAACAAACCAAGUUAGAUGAUGACGAAAUAAUAACAAAAUAUAUGACUAGGAGUUUUUAGAAAUAAUAGAUUUUUCUAAAUAGAUAAAGGCCUUUUCAUUGAAAUUUGAGAGCUAAUUACAAAACCAUGGCUCAUGACUUGCGCAAAUACAAGUCCAUGCCUUUUUUAAAGAAGUAAAAUAUGAAAAGAACUUUUGAGAUAUAAAAGGUGGAUCAUGGGGCCUCCACCGGAUCAUCAUCAAUUUUAAGAACUAUUAGUAAUUGCACUUUCACCUACCACGGCGGGCGACGAGUUAUGAGUACAGUGGAGGUCUAAUUUUGUAAGGCCUCCCCUGGUGUCAUCUUCUUCAACCCACUGGAUUUUGGGAAAUCUUCUAAUAUAGCAUUGCAUCCCUUGAACAAAUCUCCUAUCCUAUCCCCAAGACCAUCAUCAUCUGACACCUCUCGUAUAGGAAAUGACUGGCACAGGAGUGGCAAGGGCCUAAACAAAAUUUUCUCUGACUCAUCCUCAACCCUAUCUUUCCUGGUAGGCUGAUAUCCUAACCUAUACUUAGAACCUCUCUCUGAGAUCACAAUAGGCUCGACAAUUUCUUCUAAAUUCUUGCCCAAUCAUUGACCAGGUUCAAACCCAUUUCUUAACAUCAUCGUUGUAAUCAUUUUGUAUAUAGAAGGCAUUGGUACUUUGGGCGUCGAAUCCCUAUCCACAGUAUUUAAAAUUUCCACUGUAUAGAAACUGUUACCUUUUGGAACAUCUUCAAUCAUCGGCACAUAACCAUUGGGAUGAUCCGCUAGACUUUCUUCUCCUUGGAUGACUACUUCAUGAUCCUCCCAAAUGAACUUCAAUAAUUGAUGAAGGGGUGAUGAAACUGCCUUUUCACUGUGUAUCCAUGGUCUUCCCAAGAGUAGGUUGUAGCUAGGAUGGAUAUCCACAACAUAAAACUUAGUCUUGAACUCAGCAGGGCCCAUUUGGAUGUGCAAAUCAAUCUCACCUAUGGUAUCUCUCUGCCCUCCAUCGAAUGCUCUCACAUUUACGUGGCUUUGAUGAAUUUUUCCCAAAUCAUAUCCCAUUUGAACCAACGUGGAGAGGGGAGAAAUAUUCACACCAGGUCCGUCAUCUAUUAAUACCUGAUUAAUUGCAUAAUCUCAACAAAUGACGGUGACAUGCAUGGCUUUGUUGUGCAUCGCCCCUUCAAACGGCAACUCUUCAUCACUGAAUGAUAUGUGAUGAUUUCCCAAAAUAUUUCCUAUCAUCGUAGCUAGGUUCUCAACACUCGUCCCUGCGGGAACAUAUGCUUUAUCCAAGACCUUCAAUAAAGCUUGUCGGUGGUAUUGGAAACUUAUUAAUAGUGCCAAGACAGAGAUUUGAGCUGGUAUCUUCUCUAAAUGUUUGACAAUUGAAUAAUCUUUGGGUUGCAUAUGCCUCCAAAAUUCUUGAGCCUCUCCUUCAGUGAUUGGCCUUCUCUAUAAAUCUAUUUUAUUGGUCAAUUCCUUAGGGAUGUAGCAUCGUCUCGAUUGUGUCAUCUUUUGGGCAGCAGCGUUCUGCACAAUAAAUUAUUUCCUUGGUGGGGGAGCGUACACUUGAGUCGGUGCGGUCAUCAAUGUAAAUGGGGGUUUCUCGUUGAUACUUAAGGCAUCCACAACCUUCUCUAUCUUUCCUACCUCUUUCGUUUUUUUGCAUUUUUCGUAGUUCACCUGAGUAAUGGUCUUGCCAAAUGCCCAUUCGCCCUCUAUUUCAAUCAUGUUAACUGUAGAUCCCCCAUGGUUGGGCAAUGGAUUACUGUUAAUAUUUGGUGUAGCUGCCUGGAGCAUGAUGACCUUCUAAUCGAUUAAAUUCUGGAUCCUAUGUUUUAGGUAGCCACAAUCCUCUGUAUUGUGACCCGUUGCUCCUGAAUGAUAGGCACAAUUUUGACUUGCAUCAAAAAAUCAAGAGUUUGGAUAGACAUGCCUUGGCUGUAUUGGUUGCAAAUGACCAGCAUUCUUCAAUCUUUCAAACAAUUGGGUAUGACUUUCAGCUAGUGGGGUGAAGUUUUGGGGAGGUUUCUUUUCGUGGUUUGAACUUUGGGGGUUGUACUAGAUUUGGUUCGUAGGAGGAGGUACUUGGUGAUAAUUUGGAGGAACUUGGAAAUUUGUUCAUUUAUUUGGAGGAGUGGAUUGGAAAUGAGACUGACAAUUUGGAGGUGGAGCUGGGUAUUGGGGAAAGAUAUUUGGCUGUAGAGCUUGGUAUGAGGAUUGGAUGUUUGGGAGUGGAGUUUGGUACUAAGGUUGUGCAUUUGAGAGUAGAUCUAGGUAUUGGGGGUAGCCGUAGAAUACGUGCUGAAGGUUGGGUGACGGCGGAGAAGAUAAAACAUUUUUAGAGUUGAUCCUCUUUUUUGUUUUCGUAACAGGAUUAGCAAAAAUCACACCUACAUAUUCCUUUUUCUUCUUCGAGAACAUGACAGUCCCAGAUGAUGUUGGGGUUUUGGCAAUUUUCCCUAUUCGAAUACCUUCUUCCAAUGAUUCUCCUAUUUUUACCAAAUCUGCAAAAGUUACCCUAACAGCGGACACUAUCUUGGUAUCAUAUUUCUUUAUUGAGUGCGAGAGAAUGCGGAUACCAAUUCCUCCUCGGACAUGCGGGGUUGCACUUUGGCGGCUUCUUUCCUCCAACAAAAAGCAUAGUCUUGAAAACUCUCAGCAUUCCUCUGUUUGAUCCGAUCUAGUAAAUAUCGGUUAGGGACUAUUUCAAUGUUGAAUGCAAACCGGUCAAGGAAACCUUUGGCCAAUGCUUUCCAACCAGUCCACUUUUUCGGCUCUUGAGACAUGAACCACUCCAAAGCUUCGCCACACAAACUUCGACUGAAUAGGCACAUCAAUAACGCCUCAUUUCUCCCUAUCCCUACUAGCUGCUCAUAGUACCUUCUCAGAUGGUCCAUUGGAUUUUUGAUACCGUCAAACAUCUCAAACUUAGGUACUUUGUACCCAUCUAGUAGGUCAACUUCCAGGUGAACAUAUAAAUCAUUAUACCCCAAACCGUCGGGGUUCCUGGUUCCAUGAGACUCUUUGAUCCUCAUGAUCUCUUCCUUCAUAGCUAGUAAAUUCCUUUCAUGUUGGGUCCUCCACUCUUUCUCCUUCUCCUUGUAAUGGUCCAUCUCGGUGUUAGGAAGAGGUUCAUAAAUAUCAGGAGAUAUGAUGGCUUGAGGGGGAUUUGGAAAGGAGACUUGAUUUUUUGGAUAAAACGAAGUGGGUUGGUAGGUGGGGCAGACGUUAUGAAAAUUAGAAAGGUUUUAUGGAAUUUGAGAGUGGUUUGGUGGAAUCUGAGAAGGAUUUUGCAUAUUUGAAAAUGAAUUUGGUCGAUUCGAAGGUAGGUUUGACGUAUCAUGUGGGUUUGAGAGUGAAUCUUACGGAUUUGGGAAUGCAUUUUGUUGAUUUAAAAAUGUGUUUUGAGGAUUUGGGAAUGGAUUCGGAGACGGGUUUUGUGGGGUUAGAGAUGGAUUUUGCAGAGGGUAGGCGCCUGGGUUAUUUUCACGAUUGGUAUUUUGGACAAAUGGGGGAGCGAAGACGGACGAUACGUUAUUUGGCUGAUCCCCAAGAGUAGGGGUGCUGAGGGGAGAAAUUUGUAGUGGAGUCUGGUGUCCUCCCGAAGCGGGAGCAUUGACGGUGAUGGCUAAGUUAGCGAAAUCCCGAGUGCAAUUUAUUUCUUCCUGAAGCAUUUCUAACUUUCUUGCAAGUUUCGCAAUCAUCUAAUUCUGUUCCGCUAUCAAAUUGUUCUGGAUAGUCAGUGCGCUUUCUUCAUCAUUUCCUGUCAUUUUUGAAUGAUGGUCAGAUGAUGAGAUUUUGUGCGCUUUCGAUUGGGUGAAGUAGGGAUGUUUCUGCCAGCUUAUAUCAACACGGAGUAAUUUCUAUUAUCUGUAGGCAGAUGUGUUAGUUUCCGUAUAUGAUAAGUAAUGCAAAAUAUUUGACAAGAAAUAACCACAUAGAGUUGUUUUGGUCAUAGGCAAAUUCAUCCAUAGGAGCAUAGAGGAUAAACUUGCUUUUGAUCCAAACAAGCACACAUGAUAGUUAUAUUACACAAAACAUUAUAAUAAUGUGCAUCCUAAAUAGGGUGACCCUUUUUGAGCCAAAGGUUCAGGCCUAACAAUUUUGAAGAAAAUAUAUGCUUUCUUAAAGUCAAUACAUUAUCCCCCAACUUAUAUAAACACGAAAAGGGAAUAAAUGCCUACAAAAUAUAAUGAAAGAGGAAUACAAUCUUUAGGGAAAAAAAGGGAAAAAACAUGAAAGAGGAUAAGUUCCUGCACAGGGGAAAUAGAUAAACUAGCUACUGGAGGCCCCUUCGUCUGCCUUUGCCUUCUUUGCCUCGUCCACUUCUUUUAUUGGUGACAUCUAUUGACGUUCAAACUGUGCCUUAGAUGCAAUCUCCCAAAUCGAUCAAUUUCUUGCUUAUCUUGCUUCAAUUCUUCUUACAAAAGUAAACAAAUCAAGCUUUUUCCCGACACCUAAAGGAUAAUGGAUUAAAUUUAGACAAGCAUGUAUUUUUUUCAAUACAUAAAUAUGAUUCGUCUGUAAUUAACUCGAGGUUAAUAGAUGCAGGGCAGGUUUUCUAAUGGGCCCAAUACCCCGCUCGGGUAAUGGGUUGUCCUAGGCUCAUGCCUAAAAUAGGAUUUUGGUUUCGUUCUAUCCUUGGUGUCUAGAGUGGGUUUGAACACCAGUUCUCAAGCGGACAACUUGAGUUUGGAAAUACAAACAGCCAUCAGACAACUCACGCGCUUAUAAACUGUUUGUAUUUCCAACACAGUUUUGGAAUUGAUCAAUAGGGGUUAGGAUACCCACGAAACCCCAAAACAAUUUAAAUAAUGUAGGAAUAUGCCAUAAGAUGCGAUAGUUAAACUUUACAAAAUCAAAACAUAUAAACACAUAAACAGUUAAUCAAAUAAAGAAAUCAAACAAUUGGUUAGAACCUAUUUCAAAAAUCCCCAGCAGAGUCGCCAUUUCUGUUUUGCGGAGAAAUUGACUUUUUGAGAAGAGUCGCCACUUAAUUUUGAAAAGGAAUUAAGAAACCUUUAUAAAGUACUUCAAACGAUUCAAAAUAGGAAAAUCAUUUUAAGUUAGAGAUUCUAGAUAAGCGGUAAUUCUUAACGUUUUAGGAAGGUGUUAGACACCUAAAACGUCCGCUAACUUGCGGUUAUCCGAACUGUUUGAAAACAUCUUUGAUUAACUUUCUAAAAUUUGAUUUAUUGAAAAAUGGUUGAAUUUUAGAAAUACUUUGAAAGUUUGCAAAAGUUAAUUUUUAGUGAAUUCAGUACGGGAUUUGACUAGGUUCGCAAAAAGGCAUGCAAAACAAAUAAUCAAAAAGAAAGGGGAAGGGAGGAGAAGUAGUGAUUUAGGCUUUGAAGCCCAAAUCGCUAAACCUGUCCUAAUCUAGUUGGGUUUUCAAUCCAUUUCUCUUUUCAGUUGUCUUAAUUCUAUGUUUUUGAGCCUUUAGCUCGAGUUUUGCCUCCAGCUGUAUUAAAUACUACUUUGACUUCGAGGCCCGAAUGAAUAAAUGAGAAAAUAGAUAAAUAAAUAAACAAAGACGACGAAAUAACAAAUGAAAUUUUUGGGUCUGGUAGCUACUUCAAAUGGGUUUAAUCCUUCUUAUUUUUUUCUUUGACUCCUUGUGAUCGUACUAAUGGGCGUUCAAAGUCUUCUAAACUGGUGGGCCUCAACGGCCCAUUGCAAAAAUAUGGAAGGAAGGAGUCCAUUAAGACUCAGAGAAUAAAUUCACAUGCAACAGGGAAAAAAGAGGAAAUUAACACAUAUCUGGAAUGCAAAGACAGAAGUAAAGAACUUAACCUAUGUUCGAAAGCUGACACCUAAUGAAUGACUAACUAAAAAAGACAUGGGACGGCAUUAUGGCAUAUAAUAAAAUUCACAUUAGUCUAAUCUCUAUGUUUUCAUUUGAGAACAACUAAUAUGUUGCUAUGAGAAUCUUUUGGCGACCUCAGAUGCUACAAGAAAUAUGUCGUUCCAAGGUUCAGGAAGCUAAAGAAAAAUAGAACCAUAUAGUUCACUCCACGUCUUUAGUAAAUGAAGCAAACAACUUGUAAUUCAAACAUUACACAAGAAAAGUCCGCAUAAAGUAAGAAUAAAAUAUGAAUGAAUCAAUUCGACAAGGAUUGUACAUGGAUCGAAUCUCACUAGGCUAGCAUGUGAAUUACUAGAAAUAAACAAGCGUGUUAUUCCAGAAAUAGGGGAGAAGAGAACAAUGAUAACCAAACUCACAAGUGUAUCCCAGGGAGGUAAACCAAUUGGGUGUCAUACUUUUUUGGAGUUAAAAAAAAAACUUGCUUAACUAAAAUUUACACAUUUUUAUUUAUGCAUUGUACAAACAUGACAACAAAAUUCUCAGAAAGGACUAAAUCAGACUGCUAGAUGAGAUACGUGAGACAAAUCAAGUUUUGACAGACAACGGCCUUAAUUCCAAACCCCAGAAGAUUUUCGAACAUAUUACUUAGGUGGAAAAAUUAAAAUAUAGGAGUUUAGACAUCACGGAAGAAUGAAAAGAACUUCUAUUAUCAAAACAUUCACUGGAUAUUCAAUUUAUUAAAGGAUAUCACAUUCUUGAGAAAAGAAAUCAGAGAAAGGAAAACUACUCAAAAUGGACAUUUUAAAGGAUCAUCUUGACAUCUUUGGAGGGUAAACCUACCUCUUCUUUUGACAUUAGCCAUUAAAGACAACAUGAUGAAGAGUUUAUCUUGUUGAAACAAUGAAAACACAGGAUGGACCAAACAUGCGUAAGACUCCAAACAUUUUCUACAAAAGAAAAAUCAAAGAGGACAUGAAAUCUGCACUGCCAGGCCACGAUAUCGAAUGGAUAACUACUAACGGUACAUGAACAAAAUUGUAUCAAGGAAAGACCAAACAACUAGGAAUGACACAACAUCAAAAACGUAAAUUGCCAACUUCCAUCAAUAUGCAGUUUUCUAACCCAUAUAGUCAAACAAAUAGGGACAUAAAACUCAACCCAACAGGUUUUGAUUAAAAUUUAAACAUGCAGUCAAUAAACAUUCUUUUCUUCCUUAGCCGACACAGCUCACAUAUAAUACAAAAUACAGCUGAAAUUACUUGAAUAUCACAACGUGAACAUCAUCACAACCAAACCUAUGGCCUUCAGGGCCUCUAAAAUAUUCAAAACCCAGCCUUAUUCAUGAUUGUCACUAAACAAUUAAACUAAUUCUAUAGAGGGAAAAUAAGGGAUGAAGCAGAAAGUGACGAAGCUAAAAGAACAAGAGUAUGCUCACCUCUUCGGGUGCAGCAAAACAGGGACCCGAGCUAUCAGCCGAAUUUGUCACCACUAGGAAACAAUCCUUCGGGGACUCUAACCCAAAUUGUCAGCUUCAAAAUUUUCUAGCUAAAUCGACAGCUUCAAAGUUUCCAUUUUUACUCAACUAAAAAAAGACUUUUACUGAUUUUUUGCCCUAAAUCGAUUUUCCCCCUUCAAGACCUUAAUGGUGAAUUUUUCGCUCUUUUACGACUUCCCUUAAAAUUUUGAAACCCCCUAAAAGAAUGAAAACCAAAAAAAAAAUCCUCCUGGAGAAAGGAAGAACCCCUUUAUCGACCAAAAACUUCAAACCCUAGAGAAUAUCGUGACCUCCCAUUCUUCUCCCCUCUUGAACAAAGAACGAAGGUCCUCUUAUAUAGAGGACAAAAUUGGGGCCUUCCAUAUUUGAAAUAAGGAAACCCUCAGAUCUCAAAUUCCCCAAAAUAUUCUCCUCCCAACCCCGUCUCUUAUCCUUGAUCGUAUCCUUUUGGAUUUUUCUGAGAAAUUUGUGACGGGUGGACCAAUAGGGUUUGGGAAAAAUUCAUCCUUUUCAAGAACCAAUGGAAAGUGUACCAAUAUAUACGAAAUAGUACCAUUCCAACCGAGAAACGCGGUAUUGAGCCAUGGGAGAGGCCACCUAACCUUGUUUCUAGAAGAUUUGAGGCUUCUCCUCGUACAAAUGUUGCGUGAAAUGCGUGUGCAGAGAGAAAAAAUACUGAUGGGCUAGGGUUGAGUCGAUUCGAAAACGGGUUGGAGGCGGAUUAAGGGUCGGGUUUGCUAUGAGUUGUUC